CUGUCAUGCUACCUUUGUCUAUUUACUAGCAAGUGUUGGUUUGGAAGUACUCGCCAUACUUCCAUUGGCAUUUAAAUUAAGCAUGGUGCUCAGGUUAAAUAGCCUUCCUUAAUCUGAUUAGACAUGGAGUCUAGUUUGGUUAUUGAACUAAAAACUGCUUGAGUAGAUAUUGGUAUAUUUUGUCGGACUAACCCCUGCAGGAAAACUUUCAAUAUCGAUUUGGGAAGUCCUGAGAUAAGCUCACAUCAGAGAUGAAGAGAGUGACACAUGAAGUUUAACAAUUUGCACAAGAACGACAUAGCUCAUUCGUCAUACAGAGAUGAUCCAUGGAAGGAGACAAAGUACAUAAACACGAUACACAACCACUACGAAAGGAAAGCUUCCACAAGGUGAUACCAUACCAUCAAUCUUCAAUUAAGGUAACAUCUUAAGAUAUCUGACUAUCACUUUUAUAAGCCCCUCCUUGGUUCUGGUGUUCACAUAAAUAAAGAGACAAACAUAUAUGAUUUAUAACUCCAAAUUAACCAAACCAACUGAUUCAGCAUGUUUAGUCCUUUAAUCUUUGUUCCUAGUACUACCUCCAUGAUCCCACACUCCUAAUCAUAUGAGCUAAAAUAUUACACAUUCAAUCUUUGAGAGAUAUAAAGAAGAAGACAUAUACAUAGAUAGAUUAUCUUUCCAUAAGGUUGAGCGAUCUGAUCCGGCAAAUGUUUUAAAUGCUACACUCAUGAACUUAUCAUCCAUUAACUUUGUCUUGCUCACUAUGCUUAGGGUUAGAGAAGAACAAAUACCUUUAGGUUCUGUUGGUGUUUUCCACCAACAGGACCCAUGCACUUGAUCUCUGCCUUGUCUCUAUGAGCAGGUACACUUCGAGCAAAACAUGGAGGAGUUUUAUAACUCUCAGACUCUACCAAGUGAAGGACCUGGAUCUACGAGCACAAACACACUGAGCAGGAUACUGCCAACGCCGCACUUCGAACUGUUGGGCAAACGAAGAGGUGCAGACGUCAAGGUCUGCACCUGAAUCAAAUGACGCACCUGAAGAAUGAACACGCUGAGAAGUCUUGUUAAGAAGACUCAAAACAUUGAACCCUCACCGAAAGGUAAGAUCGGUAGUUAUCCAUAUUUAUCCUUUCUGCAUUCCCUUUUUCCUUUAAUUAUUUACUUUCCUUAAAUAGAUUAUUAGUUAAUCAUGCUAUCUUGAAAUGAAAAUAAAAAUGUUAAAAAAUACUAAGCCCCAUGUGAGUAUACGAGUGGCAUAAAACCCAUAAGUACCUUCACUGUGGUGGUAUAAAAAUAAAAUAAAUAUUUCUUUUCUGCUUUAUAAAAUAAAAUAUAAAAACAGGGAGUAAUAUUUAUUGAGGAAGCUCAACAUGAGGAAGGCUAGAUAUUUGUGCUAACACUUAAUUAGUUCCACAAGCUUUGUUGUCUAUUUGAGCUCCACAGAAUUUAAGAAUCAAGAAGACUAGGAGACGGAGGGCAUUCUAGUCGCUGUCAGAAUGCUGCUGACUUUCAAAUACACCUCUGCCACCUGCUAGCUACAUCAAGAGAAAUUACGUCAAAAUUCAGCUUGGGGGAGAGCACCCCCAUUUAUCUCGCUAAGUAUUUCUACCUAUCUUUAUACUUAUAUUAUGUUAGAAUAUUAAAAUACAUAAACUAUGAAAAACCAAAUAAAGAUUUUGUGCUUAUAUAUAUAUCUUUUGCUUAGUGUGUUUAAUAAAUAAAUAAAGUGGCUAUGCUAAUCUGAAUCUUAAUAAUAAAACUCUAGCAUGGAUAUGAUGAAUAGUUGCUCUGCCUAAUUUGCAAAUUUGAAGUUCUCUCUCAAGUUUAGACAUAACUGUUAUAAUUUAAAGCUUGCUCUAGAUCUAAACUUGUGGGAUGAAAACUUGAUCUGAAAUCUAAGUUGUUAACAGAUAUAAUAUGGGAAGGUUGAGCUGCUGUUUAUCUGUUCCUAGAGAUGCUAGAAUUUUGGAGAAUUUUAUCUUUGAAAAAUCUUUAAAAUAUUGCAUAAUGAGUUCCUGUAUGAUGAGAGUUUAAAUUCCAACCACAGCCAUAUAUACAUGCUUGCUAGACUUUGAGCAACACCUUUACUAUUUACUGCUUAUGAGCAUUGAGUGUGGUCAAGCUGUGUAGACCCUUAGGAGCUUGUCAUGUGGUUAAAUCAAGAUUCACUUGCACGUUCACUCAUAUAUGCUACUUCUACUCCGGAAGUACCAUCCACAUAUAUCCAUCAAUUUCCAUCUCCAGAAUCACCUAAAAAUAUUCUACUCCUAAUCCGGGAGAGAAUAGCCAAAAAUAUUUCUAUUUCCCUUGUGAAAUAAAUGCUCAAGUUAUCUUGCUACUACCACUUGCUAUAUUAUCUCAAGAGAUGAGUGCUCUGAAAAAAAAGAAAAGAGAAGAAAAGAAAAAAAAAUAAAUGAGGAAAUAAAAAGGGGCAAGUGCCCGGAACCUCGAAAGAAAGAAAAAGUGAGACGAGAGGUAAAAAUGGACAAGUGUUCGACAGUAGAAUUAGGGGUACAAGAUACCCAGCUGAGAGGAAAGAAAAAGAAGAGCAUCUCAUUCUCCUCAUAAAGAUUAAAAAGGAAGGAAGGUAUGUAUCCCCUCAAAAGAGCAAAAGUAGAAUUAGACUUUCACCAUUGUUGUCACCAUCAUCACCAUACACCAUUCAUUCACCACACAUGCACAUCUUGAUUUGGCUUAUUGAUUUGUUUCUUUGGAUCCAUGGUUUGACUAUACAAUAAAUGUCUUGUAAGUAUGUAUACUUUAUCUCCCACCUAUGAGCUCCAGAUAUUAAAGCCUUAUUAGAGUAGGGUGAAAGAGAAGGCAAUGUCACUAUGCCUUAUACCACAAAUACCACAUAUCUUGAGAGAAGGCAUAUACCAUCACUGCCUUGGUAAGGAUCCAGAAAUACCACAAAAGAGAGAUUUAGACAGUCAUACAAGGAAUCUCUGAGUUUUAUUUGAAAAUCUGCAAAAACUCCAGAGCUAUAGCUGAUCAAGAAUAAGAGACAUGGCACUUGGCUAGACUGUUCUAUCUUUUAACUACUCAAGACAGAAGUGACGGUUACAAGUCCCAUGGUGAAAGGUAAAGUAAGUAAGAUUUAGUUCUUGAUAGUUUACUCUAACUCAGAGAUGAGAUCUUAUUUAAAAGCAUUCGUACCGUCAAAUUUUUAAGAUAUUGCAACAACUUCUGAUCCAUUGCUAAGUCUAUCCUUGCUCAGGGACGAGAAAGAGGUAAGCUUGGGGGAGUUUGUUGAUGGUCCUUAAGUAUCAAAUUUAAUUAUCAAAUAAACAAAGAAAAGGAUCCAAAUGAAAUCAACAUAUAGACUUAGGGUUUUAUCUGACAGAAUUCCACGAGUUUUGGUGUUUGUUUAUUUCUGCAGGGGGUUAUCAGAAAAUACGAAAGAAAGGCCCACACGUCGGGAUUACAUAGAGAUAUUAACGUGCCGCACAAUUAUCUUACAUCUAGAAGACUCCAGAAGCCACGGGAAGGAAGCGGAGGCCGAACGGGGCCAGAGGCAGGGCGCCGCCCUCCUGGCCUGGGCGCCCGCCCUGACUUGGAGCCCAAUCAGGACUCUUUCUCUCGGGAGAUCUCCACCGACCUAAAGGAUCAAGAAUAACCGUUCAAUCAAUGUGGUUUGAUCCGACGGCCCAGGUUCACUUGAGGGGACUAUAUAACCAGACCCCCUGGCCCCUGGAGAAGGCACCCCUUGAUCAUUAUUCAUAGACAGAGCAAAAGCUAGGGUUUAGAGAUGAGAGCUCUCCUCUCUUCUCUAAACUAGAGUAGAUCUAGAUAGUAGCAAGAUGGAGAGCGAAGGAGGAUUAGAGGAGAGGCCGGCCUGUCGGUUCUUCCUCCGGUUGUACUUCGUCAUGAUCAAGCUCUAAUCAAGCUUGCUCAUGGGAUGACUCUGGUAAUCUACUUCUAAUUCAUUAUGCAAUUACUAAUCAUGUAUGUUCUGGUUCACAACUCUUUUGAGUACUUCUAAUCUAUAGGACGCUAUAGGUUAGAGUUGUAGUAUAGGUGUAAGCGAGGUGCUUAGACCUAGAUUACUUGUGGAUAUCCCCUGUCUAGCUGGAUCGUGUGGUAGGCCGCGUAGGUGACAGUUACGUUGGUCCUCUGUAGUCCACCUCUCGUUAGCAGGACGGGUAGGGUUUAUCGGCCUAUGGAUAAGCAUCCUUUGUGGUGUAAUCUUAUCACGUGGUUCGUCCCAGACAUAGACAUACCCCUUUGAAGUAGAGAAACCAUUGUUAUCCUCUCUAUUCUGCUACCAUCGCCCAUAUACUAGAUUGCUCUACUCUCUAUUCCCAUAUUAUCACUCACUGUUAUCUUACCUUUAAUAUUGUUCUUAUUCGAUUCUACCAUCUUUCCUAUUUACACCUAUUUACUUAUCUUGGUUAAGUUAGAGCGUAGAUCAGUUCUCCUGUUUCCCUGUGGAUACGAUAAAACCUUUAACCGGGUAAAAGCUUCAACGGUAUCCGUGCGCUUGCGGAUUAUCUGCGUGCGUAUAAAUACCAUAGUACACUCUAGUGCCAUGCUGGGGAUGACAACCUAGUAUUAAAGUGGUGUUAGCAAGUGUCAACACCGAUGUAGCAUUUUAACCGGGAAGUAUUCUAGGUAUCGUUAUUUAUAUUUUUACCACUGGGAAGGGAUUAGUAACCAUCAAUGUUGAUUAUAGAAUAGAAUAUGAGAUUGAGUAUCUAUCAUUGCAUGUAUUUGCUUAGAAGCUAGCAGCACCCCUCUACUCAGCAAUGUCUAAGAAGAAUUUAGAUAGGAUAAUGAUCCCCUUUGGGAUUGAUCUCAACAUCAUACCUAGAGAGGAACCUGAGAGCAAAGCUAUUAUUCCCAUAGAGGAGCCUGUCCCGCUAGCCAUUAUACCACCACAACCACGCUGCUAUAGAUAAUCCUGUUUUGCUCAGCCCACUCUCACCAUGCCUCUCCUCUUAGAUGGAGCUCCAUUGAAGGGCCCCAUCAUUGCUCUAUCGUUAGGGACCAACAUCCUACCACCGAAGAAUAACGAGAAGCUGUUGGGAGUGAAGACCAACAAGAAGGGGAAGGUCAUCUAUGCCAAAUACACCACUGGUGAAUGUACCUACUAUGAGGGGGUUCGCGCUCAUCCAUCAAAGGUCAAAUUCAUCCCCCCAAAGGAAGAUCCAAAGUCUGCCAUGGUGUUGACUCUUCUUAGCAUCACUCCUAGGAUUGUCAGUCCUUGGCACAGCACUAGAAAUGCUUGUGUGACACUAGAAGUGGCAAACGGUUUUACCGCAAGCGGAUGGUGGUCAAUAUAGCACUUCACGAGGAGUAUUCCACGUAUCGUAUGUUCCACGGGGAACGAGAAGUGGACUAACUAGACCAAUUGAGUCGUUGGAUGAUGAUCAAAGGACUUAGGAUUGGGUGGAGAGGUAUUUCUAGUAUUUGGCUUCAGGCUAACCUAUCCUAAGUAUACUGAGAGUUAACUCCCUUCCUACUGUGGCCGGUAGGUGAAAAGGGUGUGGUGAAACACUUCCCUAGGUAGCUACCAUGCAGGCCAACUAUUAUUUGCAACUUGCCUAACAACACACUGAAGAGAACUCCUAAUGUCCAGCAGAGGCCUGUCACGCUUCGCUGCUAGCGUUCUUCAGGUGCAACAAGAAGUCCACAAGGGCAGACUUAGUCUAGACACCACGUCUACACUAAUUCUACUACUCUAGACCCAGCUAAGGAUUCAAGCACUUCACACAAGGCAAAGCAAUGUGCUAGUAGGCCGGUUGUAUACUUAAAAUAAACUAAGACAGAAAGUAAAUACUGGAAGUACUCAGAUGAAAGGCAACUAGAAGGAAGACUUACUAGAAGACAAGCAUCCGCUGAGGCGCUCCUAGAAGAAGACACCCGACAAGCCGGGACUCCUCCUCGGGGAACGCCUCACUCUCUUCCCUCUAUUCUCACACUUAGCUAAGAGUAGCUCUUCCUAAGAUACAUCAUGCUUAACUAGGCUCUCUAAGGGGGUAUUUAUAGCAGGAGGUGGAGUAGGGGCUACUCCACUGCCACGUCAGCACUCCACGUGACCUCAAGCAUGCACCAUUGGAUAAACCGACCUUGGAACCACCAUAUGAUCAACGGUUGGGGAUUUCCAUCACAUGUUCAUCAUGGGGACGUCGGUGGGGUGUAACUGACCUUAGGUGCGCCUACAUCAUAGGUCGGUCGACCUGAUAUUUGUGAGGUGGGGCCACCCUGAGCCUUCUAGAAGGUCCUGGAGGUCGGUGCAGUGGAGGUGGCAGGUGGGACCCACUAAUGGUUGGUCGGCUGAUCGAGAUUUGGUGAGGUGGGCCCACCAGCCUUGCUCCAUUGUUGUCCCCAUCUGUCAUGGAGUGUGUCUUGUGUUCAUCUUCGGUCUGGUUCUUCUGGUGGGUCCAUGGAUCCUUGUACCUCCAUCUUUCACCCAUGAACAGAAACACAAGUGUGAUUUGAGGGUCGAGAUGGACUUCAAUGUGUUGCCUUAGGAUCCUGGAAUUGAGCCAGCACCUGGACCACCCCAAGAGUAGGUCGGCCGACCUGCCCUUGGAGGGUCUAGGAGCUCAUUUUCCCCCAAAUGUAAGUGUACCUGCAUCCAAAUACUUAGAGCAUAAGUGGAACCUCUUAGUGAUAAAAUAUGCCUAUGCUAUGCCAUUCUUCCACUAUUUCCGGCCUGUUGACGGUGUUUUCAUGUGUGGAUUUUAUAGCUUAUCCACCAUCAACAAGAUCCCCCAAGCUUAACCUUUGCUCGUCCCGAGCAAAUAAUUAAACUUGGUCUCGGUGGAUCAGGAGUUGCUGCAAUGUCAACAUUUCAAGAGUACCAUGUAUGCAACAAAUUAUUUCUCACCCAUUUACCUUAGUUCUUCAUGGGGCUUUUGGCUUUUCCUUUGACUUGGGCAGUUGAGAGACAGAACAAUUAGAUAUAGAGCACCACUUUCUUAUUCUUAGCGAGUUUCAUACCGGUGGUUUUUUCAAUUUUUUCACAAAGAAAACUAGGUUCCUCAAUUGAUUUCUCUCAAUCUCUCAAGUGGAUAAUGUACCUUACCAAAGGCGUUGCUUUUCUCACAACAUAUAGCUAAAGCUUUAUGUGGAGUUUUAGUAGGUGUGGAAAGUGGGCAUACUUGCUUCUUGUAUGGGGAUAAAUCAAAAACCAAACUGAGUUAAGAUAAAAGGCAUAUGCUAGACUGAGAUGUGCAAGUGUGUGGAAUGGAUCCUAUCACUAAACUAUACUCCUUAUAUGGCAUGAUCUUUCUCUCUUAGAAAAGAAUAUUUUGAGACAUGGCUACCAACUUUUCCAUUUAUAAAACACUUGGGGACUUUUGACAUCGGUGCGCCCCCUUUUUUGCCAUGUCUCCCUAAAAAGGAUACUGAGAGAAAGAUCAAUUUGAAAAAGUGGAUAGAGUAUUUUCCUAGCAAAAAUUUUGUUGCUUUCUCCCAGUACAGGAGAAGAGCUUUUUUUGUGGAUGGAAGGGUGCAUGUUGCGCGCGAUCCUCAGUGUAAGAAUUGGCUUUAUUUGGUGGGUGCAAAGUGUGUCUCAGUCUAAAGAUAUGACUCCAAUCUAAGUUAAGUUCAAUCCUUGACAAAACCCCAACAAUAACAAGCAGCUAUGGAUAAAGUAUGUGUAUAUAUAUGGAGCAUAAAUAUUUUGCCUUGGUAGGAAUUUUAUAAUCAUUGAGGAACCGUUGUUUUUAGAUAUUUUCCAAAUAAAUUCUCCGAUAAUCAUGCAAGCUUAGAAUAAAAAUAUAGCAGCUCUUGUCUUACUAUCUCAUAUCUCACAACAACUUAGACAUAGUUUUAGCACUUGCAACCCACAGAAAGAAAUCAGGUUCAUGGUGGUCUUAUGUGAGCCAAGUGAUCCUACUUAGAAAAAUACUAAGUUGCGUGCUAGAUACAAGAGAAAUUUUAACAGAGCAACUAUUCAUCAUUUCCAAGAGAAAGAUGGCAUGCAUGGCAAUAUUUUUGGAAUUUUUAUCAUAUUCAAAUAUAUAUAUAUUGUUAUUAUUAUUUAUUUUUAUUUUUUUACCAUAAAGCAUAGAACAAACUAAAAUUGCAAUAAAUUUAAAAGAGCCAGAAUACUUACCUUGGUGGGGGAGAGGAUCUCCCCCAAGCUUCUCUUCUCAUGGCUCCUCACUGAUAUGGUGGAUAGUUAUAUGGAUAUGGUGGAGGAUAUGAGGGCUGCUAAGGAUAUGGUGGAGGAUACUGUGGAGAUGGGUCUCGCUGCUGCUGUGGUGGCAUAGGGAUGAAUGGAAUAUUUGGUGGUAGUGGCCUCUGAUACUGUGCAUACAUCCUGUUCCAGCCUAUGUUGUGUUGGACUUAGAGAUCUAGGAGGGCUUGCUGGGUUUGAGUUGCAGUGUUCUGCAUAGCCUCAUGUCCAAUGCGCAGCACACCAAUUUGUUGGGUCAGCAUGUCCAUGUCAAUGCGUUGAGCACGGGGUUUAGGGUCAUCUGUGGGCACCAGACCUGCUAGAACAAGACAUACGACCAUUGUGGGCACCAGACCUGCGUCCUGAAUGGGGCAUCUACAUCCCACUAAAACGUCCCUCAUAGUAACUAUCAUCGUCAUCAUCACCUGCAGUUCGUGCUCUUGCACGUGUGGUUGGUCCUGCAUGCCUCAUAUGUCUUUUGCACAUAGGGAGUAAUGGGUUGCCACUAUAUAUUUUUAGUUCUUCAUAGGGCAACAAAAUUGUUUCAUGGGUGUUAUAAACUUUUAAAACACUGUGUUAUUUGCUCCUCCUGUAAGAUAUUGGCCCUUGAUAUAAAAUCUUUUGUGCAAGACAACUCUAGGAGUAGUUAUGUAUCUAUCAAAGUUAUUGAGCAGAUUACGGCGUGCACAAAAUUUUGUAACCACAGAAGUAAAUUCAAUGGUCCACCUCCUUGGUUUGGAUGAUGCCCAUAACCAAUGCUUAGCCAUUUCUACCACUGGUGAAAUUGGAAUUUUAUGAACCAUGGCAAAAAGGAUUCUAGUGUCAAUUUCCCUAACAAUUCUUAUGUCAUCUCGAGGGUACAAAGUGAGUCCUAUCCACUGGUGCAAGAAAAGCAAGGUAGGAUUGCAUAUGUGACUAGUACGUGGUUGCCAUCCCUAAUAAUUUUCCCCAGUGAUAUCAUACCAAAAUUCUUUCAUGUUCAUGUGCUUAGUGGCAUGCUCAAUUUUAAUGUUGGGAGUAUCAAAACCAAGACAUGUAGAGAAAGCAUCCCAUGGAAGGUCAAACUCACUAUUAAGCACUCUAAAAUAAUUUUUCUCUUUUGUUAUUCUUAGGGUGCUUAGAAAUUCUAGGGUGAGAAUUUUAUUUCCUUUUACAUUAGACAAAUUCCAAAAUUCAUCCCACCCCAUUUUCUCAAAAACUUCUGUGAACUCAUCAUCUAAGCCUAUGCUUCGGAGAAGUCAAGAGAUAUCACUUUGGUGUGAAUAAAUUCACGGUCGCGGAGUUAUUCAAGCUUCUCCAUCUCAACGGGAGUGAGCCAUAUGCCGGUUUCCUCAUCUUGAAUUUUCUUGGGGACGGCUUCUUCAUUUACUUGAGGUGGUGGAGAUGAUACUUGCUCCCUUGAUGCUUGACUCUGAGCAUCUUGCAUGGAGGAGUCACUAGAGCUAAGGGAAAUUCGAUGGAGAACCGACUUCCCCCAACCCCUGACUUUCUUCAUGAUGUUGAACUCUUGGAUGGUAAUGAUAAAAAGAAAAUAUUUUUGGAUUUUUGUUUUGAACAAAAGGAUGGUUAAGAAAUGGGUUUCUUGCUGGUUGGUUGAGUGCACAAGAGUGUGAGUGUGUUUGGAUGAAGGAGGGAGUAAGGAGAAAUGCUGGUGUGGAAUUAUGAAGGUCGGUCGACCUGCCCCUCUAGGGAUUUUUGCUGCAUGGUCGGGCACCUACCUUCUGGAAUGCACUAUGAGCAAAUGGCUGAGCUGGGUGUACCAGAGCACGGUCGACCAACCGGCCUUUCUCCACAAAUUCAAAAAGUGAACCCACCAGCAGCAGUGCAUGAGAGGUGGAUCACAAUGCAUGUGAUGGUGCCCUCCUUCAUGGGAUGGCCGACCAACCUUUCCUCCCCACUUUGCUUUGUGCCAAAGAUGAGAGUGAGUGGAGGUCAUUCCAUGUUGGGUGCAUGCAUAACAUGCCCCUAUUUUGCUUUGGAUGAUGGUGCAUGGCAUCUCCCUUUCUUGGAUGAAGUGAUGAAAGGAAAGAAAGCAAAAGAGAGGGGGCAAGACAAGACUAGGAGUUGGUGGCAUUUUGUGUCAUGACUUCUCACGGGAGAAUCCUCGUCAUCCUUUUGUGAUUAGCUUAGUGCUAAAUAUGCUUGCUUAGCCAAAAUGAAUGGUGGAUUGGGGCAUAAGUGAGGUUAGGGAGAAGGAUUGUCAUGAAAAUUUUCCUCUAGUCCCUUGGAUCGCUUAUGGCUAAUUUGUUAAUUCUAUUUUCUAAGCAACACGGUGAGGGAGAGCCACUAAUUCCUAAGAAUGCAAGUCGACAGCCACUUGUCUUACAUUCUUGCAACACUCAUCCUAGAGCCAUAAGAUCACAAAUACCAGGAGCUAGAGGGAGGUGGGCCCAAUAUCAUGGUUGGCCGACCGUGAUUUGGCAUCCCCCAGGCUCUGGUGGCACUCAAACAGAGCAAAAAUGCAUUGUGCAGUAAAACUUCUUUGCUUAAAGUCACAAAAGUUACCAGGCUAGCUUCAUCUAGAUUCUCUAGUAGGCAUAUGAAGCAAUUCAUGUCAUGAAAUUCAGUUUUCACUUUGGCAAAGACAUGAGCAUGGGAUUGUGUGAUGAUGGAGCAAAAUUGAGCAGGUGGACCAACCAGGGGCAGGUCGGCCGACCUGGCCCUGGGCCUCACCUUGUGGCCAUUUGCUCAGCAUGUUAAGCAGAGGUUGAUUUUAGGUUUUAUUAUGCACAACUGUGGUCAACAAAAAAAUGUUUUGAAUUAAGAAAAACUAAGAAUUAAAUGCUGAAAAUAAAUACUGAAUUUUAAAAGUUUGAAAACUCACCUUGGUUUGACUUACUGUUGGGUAUUUUAAACGCAAACAGAAAAAUCCGCAAGCGCACGGACACCGAUGUAGCCUUCACCCGGGAGUAUUCUAGAGUAUCGAUUUUCCACAGGGAACAUGAGUGUACUAAUUAAGAUUCAAGAUCGCCCAAGGAUAACUAUAUAAUUAUGUUUGGUGGGAAGAGAGGAAGUUUCCUGAGAGUUCUCCAGUUGAUCUAAGAAUCAAGAAUUACUUCAAGAUUAUCUAUUUCGGGACAUCAGAACACUAACCACAGAAAGAGAUGAGAAGGGGGCUAGGAAGCUCUGACUACGGUCCUACAAACACCGAUCCGAACGAGGUGGAAUACGUCGACCGUUAGGGCUGUCACUACCCUAGGGCUACCACAACAAUCCGCAGGAAUGGGUGCAAUUCUAGGUAAUUGCAAGACUAAAUACCACGUCUAAUCUAUUAAUUACUACUCUAAUGUUUCAAAGAUUAGAGCACUUGAUGCAAGCGGGAAUCCAAUAAAUAACUUGAAUGUAAAUAAAAGUAAUUAAAGAACUCAGGAAUUAUGAAUUGAAGAACCUGGAGAACGAUGAAGAACGAACCAGAUGCUGCAAAAGUAUAAUGUUGAGGAAGAUCCGACAGAUCUGACUCCUCCUCCGCUCUCCUCUUCUCUCUCCCUAUUUUCUAGAUUACAACUAGAACUAACUAGAACUAGAACUAGAACUAGAGGAACUAGAACUAGAAGAACUAGAGGGAUCCUCUCUACUUGGAUGAAGAAUUGAAACCCUAGCUUUGAUUCUGUAGAAGAGGUAUGCUCUCCAGGGGCCAGGGGGCGUUGCUUAUAUAGUCUUUUCAGAUGAAUCUGGGCCGUCGGAUCAAAGCGACAUUAAUCUCACGGUUUUCCUUGAUCCCUUAGGUCGGUGGAGCAUAAUCCGCAAAACGGGUCCGAAUUGGACACUAUAGCUGGGCGAGCGCCCUGUCCCUGAGCCCUCUCAGCCUCCACUUCAUUCCCGUGGCUUCUGGAGUCUUCUAGAUGAUAAAAAAUUGCGCGGCGCGUUAAUAUCUCUAUGUAAACCCGACGUGUGGGCCUUUCUUCCGUAUUUCCUGAUAACCCCCUACAGAAAUAGACAAACACCAAAACUCGUGGAAUUCUUUCAGAUAAAACCCUAAGUCUAGGUGUUGGUUGCAUUUGGAUCCUUUUCUAUGAUUAGUUGAUGGUUAAAUGUGAGCAUUAAGGACCGUCAACAAGCUCCCCCAAGCUUAACCCUUUGCUCGUCCCUGAGCAAAGAUGGACUCAAGAGUUUCUGCAGUGGUUUUAUGCCUUAAAGAUACACAUGCGUUCAAACAAGAUCUCAUCUCUGGGUUAGGGUAAACUGUUAAGAUUUAUACGUACUCAUUUUAUCUUGCACCAUGGGGCUUGUAACCGUCACUUGUGUCUUGAGCAGUUAAAAGACAGAACGGUCUAGUCAAGCGCCAUGUCUCCUGUUCUUCGAUUAACUAUAUCUCUAGAGUUUUUGUAGAUUUUCAAAUAAAACUCAGGGAUUCCUUGUAUGACUCUCUCUAGUCUCUCUUUUGUGGUAUUUCUAGAUCCUUACCAAGGCGGUAAAGGUGUAUGCCUUCUCUCAAAGUAUGUGGUAUUUUUGGUAUGAGGCAUAGUGGCAUUGCCUUCUCUCUCACCCUACUCUAACAAGGUUUUGAUAUCUAGAGCUCAUAGGUGGGAGACAACUAAUACAUACUUACAAGACAUUUAUUGCAUAGUCAAACCAUGGAUCCAGAAGAACAAGUCAAUAAGUCAAAUCAAGAUGUGCAUGUGUGGCGAAUGAACGGUGUAUGGUGAUGAUGGUGAUAACAAUGGUGAAAGUCUAAUUCUACUUGUGCUCUUUUGAGGGGAUACAUACCUUUCUUGCUCUUUUGAAACUUUUUGAGGAGAAUGAGAUGCUCUAUAUUUUCUUUUUUUUCUUUUCUCUCAGGUGGGUAUCUUGUACCCCUAAUUCUACUAUCGGACACUUGUCCAUUUUUACCUCUUGUCUCACUUUUUCCUUUCUUUCGAGGUUCCAGGCACUUGCCCCUUUUUAUUUCCUCGUAUCUUUUUUUAGAGCACUCAUCUCUCGAAAUAAUAUAGCAAGUGGUAGUAACCAAGGUACCUCGAGCAUUUAUUUCACGGGGAAUAACAGGGAUAGGAUAAUGUUUUUGGCUAGUCUCUCCUAGAUAGGAGUAGAAUAAUUUUGAGUGAAUCUGGAUAUGGAGAUGAGUGGAUAUAUGUGGAUGCGUACUUCCGGAGUAGAAGCAGCAUGUAUGAGUGAACAUUUAAGUGAAUCUUGAUUUAACCACAUGACAAGCUCCUAAGGGUCUACACAGCUUGACCACACUCAAUGCUCAUAAGCAGUAAAAAGUAAAUAUGUGGCUCAAAGUCUAGCAAGCAUGUAUAUAUGGCUGUGGUAGGAAUUUAAACUCUCAUCAUACACGAACUCAUCAUGCAACAUUUUAAAGGUUUUCAAAGAUAAAAUUCUCCAGAAUUCUAGCAUCUCUAGGAACAGAUAAACAGUUGCUCAACCUUCCCAUAUCAUAUCUGUUAACGACUUAGACUUUAGAUCAAGUACUUUUCCCACAAGUUCAGGUUUAGAGCAAAUCUUAAUUAAUAAUAGUCAUGCCUAAACUAGAGAGAGAUUUCAAUUUUGAGAACUAGUCAUGGCAGAGCAACUUUUAAUCAUUUCCAUGUGAGAGCUUAUCAUGAGGGUUCAUAGCAAACUUUAUUUAUUUAUUUAUUUAGCAAACUAAGCAAAGAUAUAUAUAAGCACAAAAUCUUUAUUUGGGUUUUUAUGAUUAUGCAUCUUUUUAUUAUUUGAGUAAAGUAUAGACGUGAGUAGAACACUUAGCUGGAUAAAUGGGGGUGCUCUCCCCCAAACUGGAUUUUGACGUAAUUUCUUCUGAUGUAGCUAGCAGCUACCGGAGGUGUAUUUGAAUGUCGGCAACACCGUGACAGCGAUUAUGAUGUUCUCCGUCUGCUAGUCUUCUUUGAUCCUUAAAUUCUGUGGAGCUCAAAUAGACAACAAAGCUUUGUGGAAAUAGUUAAGUGUUAGCAUAAAUAUUUAGCCUUUAUCAUGUUGAGCCUCCUCAAUAAAUGUUACACUCUUUAGUAGGAUCAUAAAUUUAUUUUUAUAAUUUUAUUUUUAUAAGGCAUGAAUAUAUUUAUUUUAUUUUUACGCCACCACAGUGAAUGUACUUAUGGGUUUUAUGCCAUGAGCAUACUCACAUGGGGCUUACUAUUUUUAACAUUUUUAUUUUCUUUUCAAGGUGAUAUAAAUCUGAUUAACUAAGCAAACUAUUUUUAAAAUAAUUGAAAGGAAAAGGAUAACUACCAAGUUUACCUCUUGGCAAGGCGUUCGGUGUUUUUAAGUCCUCCGAACGGGACUCUCCAUUUUCUCAGUUGUCCUGGGAUUCACUGGAUGGUGUAGUCGGUGGUUCGGCGGCACCUCCUCUUCGUGUAUAGUUAUCUUCUCUCUACACACCUGACUCGGUGCUACGGUUCCUCAGGACAGUUCUGUUCAAGCUGUAUGUCUUCAGACCUUACAACUUCUCCAUCAUAGUCUACCCAUCCGUCCUUGAUGAUUUUGCCUUCUCUGGUUGCGGUUGCGUCGUCUCCUUCUUGUCCUGAACUGCUUAGAGUCUUCAACUCUAUAUUUAGCGUCAGUAAAAUAGCGGUGUACCUUCUCAGAGGGGAAGUUCAUGUGGGCUUCUCCAGUUCCAAUGUAGAUGAUUGUUUUAACGGUGCUGAGGAACUGUCUCCCAAGGAUGAUGGGCGGAUCGUACUCGUCUUCUCCCAUGUUAAUAACCUUUCGGAAUGUCUAAUCUGCCAUCUGGAGCUGAAUGUAUGUCGGUUUUAGGGGCAUGGUUCCGAACAGGAGUUAAUAGGUGACUGGGUCAUCCUUUUUGUCAGGAACGGUGACUUAAGUCGACGAUCUUGACCUCCUUGAACUGCACGGACCAUCUUAGCUGACUUGGUCCACAUUUGCUUGUUCCUAUUCCUCCUAUUGGUCCUCUUCCUUGGUUCAUGUCGGGAUUGCUCUGAGAUUUGUGUAAUCUUGUUCUUGAAGGAAAACGUCUCCUUCCUCUUGAUGUAGAAACUGAUCUUGGCAGCACUAGCAUGGUUGACAGCUCCCGAGGUGUUCAGGAAUGGCCUCUUUGGACGCGGAGGUUCUUCAAUAUUCCCUUUGGGAAACCUGGGCAUAAUGUUGACACUGGAGCCAAAGUCGCAGAGUGCUUCUGGGAAGUCCACCAUGCCGAUGGAGAUCGGGAUGACAGGGCGUCCUGGAUCGCCUCUGAGUAGUUUGGCCUCUGUUGAUUCCAACCUUAAUUUUGUUGAGGACGGUUGUAGUAGUUGUUGUUCUUGAAGUAGUUUACGUCGUCAAGCAUCUCAGGGCAGUGAUUGCCUGAGUGUCCAGUAUCUCUAGUGUGUUUGUGCUCGUAGAUCCAGAUUCUUCACUUGGUAGAGUCUAGGAGUUAUAAUACUCCUCCAUAUUUUGCUCGAAGUGUACCUACUCGUAGAGACAAGGCAGAGAUCAAGUGCAUGGGCCCUGUUGGUGGAAAACACCAACAGAACCAAAAAUGUAUUUGUUCUUCUCUAACUUUAAGUAUAGUGAGCAAGACAAAGUUGAUGGAUAAUAAGAUCAUGAGUGUAGCAUUUAAAACAUUUGUCAGAUCAGAUCGCUCAACCUAAUGGAAAGAUAAUCUAUCUAUAUUUAUGUUGUUUUUUAUAUAUCUUCCAAAGAUUGAGUGUGCAACAUUUUAGCAGGGACAAGUUCGAGGCUUGGCCCAUUACGAGACAAGUUCGAGGCUUGAUCCGACACCCUUAUGGCUAGACUUGGGCCAGGAGGCUUGGCCCAUUACGAGACAAGUUCGAGGCUUGAUCCGACAGCUCGGAGUUUUGCGCAAGGAAACAAGACGUGGAGAUCAAGCAGGAUUCUAGUCGGUUAAAAUAGGAAUUGAUAUCGAACUAUCUAUGGCAGUUGUAACCGACUAGGAUUAGUUUCUAGAUCUGUAACCCUGCCCUCCGGACUAUAUAAGGAGAGGCAAGGGACCCCCCUAGGACAUCAUUAUUCUCUCAACACAAAUCAAUACAACAAGACGUAGGUAUUACGCCAGCUCGGCGGCCGAACCUGGAUAAAAAGCUUGUCCGUGUCUUCCGUCACCAUCGAGUUCGUAGCUUGCGCACCGUCUACCGAUAAACUACUACCGUGGGUAUACCCCAAGGUAGACUGUCGACCAGCUUUCGUCGACAGUGGCACGCCAGAUAGGGGGUGUGCGUACAGCUUUUCCGGCGAACAAGAUGGUCACCGUUCCAGCUUCCGCGGCCGUGCCUGAAGGCCUCACGUUCACUGUCGGCCAGAUCACGUGGACGACUUGCGGCGGUGGCCUCACAGCCACGGUUUCGGGAGAAACCCAGAUCCAAUCUGGGAUGACGGUGGCAUUGGCUCCGACCACGCAGAUGCUGGCGCCGAGCACCCGACCACCGCUUCCGCACUACAAGGGAAAGAAGAUCGAUGGCUCGGAUCUUCUCCGAGCCCUUGAUCGCGCUGAUUCGAAGCUUCUCGAAGCUUCCCGACUAGUAGAUGGGAUCUCGCGUCAGCCUGACCAAGCAGCGCCGACGGGUUUUUUCAACACCUACCGGCCAACUCGUGUCGUCACACACGAACGGUUGGGAAUGUCUCUGAUGAUAACCUCCACCCCCUCAGGACGGUCCGUUAAGCUCGAGGCUGAUCCGGAGCAAGGUUAUCCUUGCGGUCUGAACAACUCGGCCUCUCUCUACUCGCGGCACAUCCAAUCCCUCUUCAACGAGGCUGGUUGGUUGCCAAAGUGGAGCGGUCGACCAGCUCGUCACUACGUCAACAUGGUGACGAUCCGAGAACUACGGGACGGCCAGGUUUCCAGCAUAAAUUCGAGCACCGGUUCCGUUCCUACUGAAGUCAUAAACUCCGAGGACGAGGACUACGACCUGGAUUUGCCACCAUAUCCUCUGGGUUUCUCUCGCUUCCCAGUCUUCCUACCCCGGCGAGGGGACCUCAUUUUCAACGUCAGCGCCGACGAGCCGGUCAUCGAUGGAGAAACAGACGAGCAAAGGCAGCUCCGCGAGCAGCGCAAUGCCGACCGCGCCCGAUGAUGCGCGGACGAAGAACGCCAACUCCCGCCGCAUAAUCUCAUCGACGCCUUCGACAUCGUCGGGGAUCAGCCAGUCUACAAAACGUCAAGUGCCAACGUGGCCGUCGCCAUGGCCAAUUUGGAUCGACACCCUGAUACUCCCGAAUGCCAGGGCGUCCGAUCCAGCGUUCGAGCACACCUGAUCGCCGCGAUGGGACAGACAGCCACUCUGCUCAAAAGAGUCCAAGCUAUCUCCUAUGCAGAGGUCUCCUCCGACCAGACCCAUCGCAGCCGGACCUAACCACAACCCAGCGACCACCACCGCAGCCGUUCCCCUAACGAUCAUCAAAAAGAUUCACGGUGUGACAAUGGUGGUCAGGACGCUGGCGGCUACCGCGAACAGAAUCACAGGUGUGGUCAGGAAGUAAACCAGCAUAGGGAUCUCCGAUACAAUAUCCCUCCCAAAGACGCCCGGGACCGCAUAAACAGGCGCGCCGCGGAAAGAGCAGUUCACGAAAACCUGCGUCGCAUUGAGUACGAUGCAACGCACGGUCCUCCGGGCUUGAGACAGUUCUCUUCACACCUCCGCCAGGUCGUGUGGCGCCGCAAUUUCAAGCUCGAGAAACUCAAAAAAUACGACAGCAAGGAAAACCCAGAGAACUGGAUCACUCUUUACGAGAUCGCCGUCCGAUCAGCAGCAGGAGAUGAGCACGUCAUGGCCAACUACUUCCCAGUAGUCCUCGACCAGGCUGGUCACCAGUGGCUCCUAGGCCUGCCCGAGGACUCUUUCGACUCUUGGGAGGAACUACGCCAAGCUUUCAUCAACAACUUCAUCGCCACCUGCGAGCAGCCUGGGAACAAGUACGACCUCAAAAGGAUAAGGGACAGGAAAAACGAGCCUCUGCGCGAUUACAUCCGAUGAUUCUCGGAUAUGCGCCUUAAGAUCUCGAAGAUUUCCCACGACGAGGCCAUAUCUGCUUUCAUCAAAGGGCUGCGCUUCCACGAAGCACUGAGGAACAAGCUACUGCGCAAAAGGCCAACAACGAUGGCAGAGCUCCUCGCCACGGCUAAAAAUUAUGCCGACGCCGACGACGCAGAAAAACUCAUCCGAGAUGAUGCCAGAGGUCCCGACCAGCCUCCUCGGCGUGACGACAGUCGCGGCCGCUUCGACAAUAGGAACCAUCGUUGCCCCGACAACCGGGACCACAGAGAAGGCUGGGAUAGGCGGCGUGACAAUCGCGACGAUUUCAGAGGCAAGCGCCCUCGCGACCACGACCACGAGGUAAAUACGGUCAAACAUCCCAAUGGGCGGCGAGACUACCAGGAACACUACAACAAGACGUUGAAGGGACCAUGCCAACUGCAUCCAAAGUCCAACCACACCAUGGAGGAAUGUCGCAUCCUAAAAAGCAUCUACACACGGCGGGCUGCUCAAGACGACCCCGCCAAGAAAAAUGGGAAACAGGACGGGUGCGAUCAUGAAGACGAAGACAACGACCAGGAUAGGGACCCCCGACACCAGUAUGUCAGUCCCACAGACGUGGUCCACUCCAUCUUCGGGGGCAAGGUCUCCAUCGAGUCCAAGCGAGAAAGAAAGCUCUUAAAGAGAGCCUGCCUCAACAUAGACAGCACAGAUGGCCUUAUCGCCGAUCCGAAAUUUCCUCCCUGGUCGCAUAGGGAAAUCUCCUUCAGCAGGAAGGAUCAGAGGGCCGUUAUCCCGGAGCCAGGUCGUUUUCCUCUAAUCUUGGACCCUUGCAUCAACAGUAUCAGAUUUGAGCGCGUGCUCGUGGACGGAGGAAGUUCAAUUGACAUCCUCUUUCGCAACAGCUUGCCCGCCCUCAAGAUAUCUCCGGCACAGCUAAAACCCUACGACGCUCAAUUUUGGGGAGUCUUGCUAGGUCAGAGUUCAGUGCCCCUCGGACAGAUAACACUGCCUGUCCAAUUUGGCACGUCCGACCACUUUCGAACAGAGUUCGUCAACUUUGUGGUCGCCGACUUCGAUGGGACUUACCACGCUAUACUGGGCCGACCAUCGCUGACAAAGUUCAUGGCAGUUCCAUAUACUCAUACUUGGUCCUCAAAAUGCCUACAGAGAAGGGCGUCCUAACCGUCAGAGGCAAUGUCUACACUGCAUAUACUUGCGAGGAGGAGAGCUUCAAGAUCACCGAAGCAAUUGAUCUUUCAAUUCGCAUGGAAGAAACAGCAGCCCAAGCUGUACAGCUCUCUCCCGACCAGCUCCGACUACCCGAGCAGUAGACCGCCAGGAAGAAUUCAAAAUCCAAGGAGUACAAGGAAGUACAGCUGGUUGAAGGCAGCCCCGAGAAGACGGCCCUCAUCGGGGCCAACUUGGGUCCAAAAUAGGAAGACGCGCUCGUCAGGUUUCUAAGGGACAACGUGAGCGUUUUCGCAUGGAAACCCGCAGACAUGCCCGGCGUCUCACGAAACCUGAUCGAGCACUCCUUAAACGUCUCAAAGACCGCAAGACCCAUCAAGCAAAAGCUACGACGGUUCGCUCGUGACAAAAAGGAGGCUAUUAGGACAGAAAUAACACGACUUCUAGCAGCCAGAUUUAUAAAAGAAGUGUAUCAUCCCGAUUGGCUCGCCAAUCCGGUUCUUGUAUGCAAAAAUAAUAAUGAAUGGAGAAUGUGCGUUGAUUACACUGAUCUCAAUAAACAUUGUCCUAAAGAUCCUUUCGGUCUCCCUCGCAUCGACGAGGUGGCCGAUUCAACGGCCGGAUGCGAACUCCUCUCUUUUCUGGACUGCUACUCUGGUUAUCACCAGAUCUCGUUAAAGGAAGAUGAUCAGAUCAAAACAUCUUUUAUUACUCCUUUCGGCGCAUAUUGCUACACGACCAUGUCCUUCGGACUCAAAAAUGCCGGAGCCACCUAUCAACGAGCCAUCCAACAAUGCCUCCACGACAAGAUUCGUGAUGACCUCGUCGAGGCUUAUGUAGACGACGUCGUCGUCAAAACAAGGGAUGCAAGCACCUUAAUCGACAACUUAGACCGAACCUUUAAGGCGCUAAACAAGUACAAGUGGAAGCUUAACCCCAAAAAGUGCAUCUUUGGGGUCCCUUCUGGUCUACUACUCGGCAACGUCGUCAGCCGCGACGGCAUACGACCGAACCCUUCAAAAGUAAAAGCAGUGCUCGACAUGCGACCACCUAAGAAUGUCAAGGAUAUUCAUAAGCUCACCGGAUGUAUGGCCGCUCUCAGCCGCUUCAUUUCAAGACUAGGAGAAAAAGGCUUGCCUUUCUCCAAACUCUUGAAGGCGUCGGAAAAAUUCUCCUGGACAGAAGUGUGGGGGUAUAAACCCCUAUACCCUUACGGCCAGACUUGGGCCAGGAGGCUUGGCCCAUUACGAGACAAAUUCAAAGGCUUGAUCCGAUAGCUCGGAAUUUCGCGCAAAGAAACAAGACGUGGAGAUCAAGCACGAUUCUAGUCGGUUAGAAUAGGAAUUGAUAUCGAACUAUCCAUGGCAAUUGUAACCGACUAGGAUUAGUUUCCAGAUCUGUAACCCUGCCCUCUGGACUAUAUAAGGAGGGGUAAGGGACCCCCCUAGGACACAUUAUUCUCUCAAUCCAAUACAAUCAGACGCAGGACUUAGGUAUUACGCCAACUCGGCGGCCGAACCUGGAUAAAAAGCUUGUUCGUGUCUUGCGUCACCAUCGAGUUCGUAGUUUACGCACUAUCUGCCGAUAAACUACUACCGUGGGCAUACCCCAAGGUAGACUGCCGACCAGCUUUCGUCGACAGUGGCGCGCCAGGUAGGGGGUGUGCGUACAACUUCUCCGACGAACAAGAUGGUCAUAGUUCCAGCUUCCGCGGCCGUGCCUGAAGGCCUCACGUUCACCGUCGGCCAGAUCACGUGGACGACGCGCGGCGGUGGUCUCACGACCACGGUUUCGGAAGGAACCCAGAUCCAAUCUGGGAUGACGUCGGCUCCGACCACUCGGAUGACGGCACCGAGCGCCCGACCACCACUCCCGCGCUACAAGGGGAAGAAGAUCGACUGCUCGGACCUUCUCCAAGCACUUGAUCGCGCUGAUUCCAAGCUACUUGAAGCUUCCAACUAGUAGAUGGGAUCUCGCGCCAGCCUGAUCAAGCCGCUCUAACGGAUUUUUUCAACUCCCACCGGCCAACUCGUGUCGUUACACACGAACGGCUGGGAACGUCUCUGACGACAACCUCAACUCCCUCAGGACGAUCCGUCAAGCUCGAGGCUAACCCGGAGGAGGAUUAUCCUUGCGGCCUGAACAACUCGGCCUCUCUCUACUCACGGCACAUCCAAUCCCUUUUCAACAAGGCGGGUUGGCUGCCGAAACGGAACGGUCGACCAGCUCGUCACUACGUCAACAUGGUGACGAUCCGAGAACUAUGGGACGGCCAGGCUUCCAGCACAAAUUCGAGCACUGGUUCCGUCCCCACCGAGGUCAUAAACUCCGAAGACGAGGACUACGACCUGGAUUUGCCUUCACAUCCUCUGGGCUUCUCUCGUUUCCCGGUCUUCCCACCCCGGCGAGGAGACAUUGUUUUCAAUGUCAGCGCCGACGAGCCGGUCAUCGAAGGAGAAACAGACGAGCAGAGGCAGCUCCGUGAGUAGCGUAACGCCGAUCGCGCCCGACGACGCGCGGACGAGGAACGUCAAAUCCCGCCGCAUAAUCUCAGCGACGCUUUCGACAUGGUCGGGGAUCAGCCAGUUUAUAAAAUGCCAAGCGCCAAUGUGGCUGUCCCCAUGGCCAAUUUAGAUCGGCUCCCUGAUACUCCCGAGUGCCAGGGCGUCCGAACCAGUGUUCGAGCACAUCUGAUCGCCGCGAUGGGACAGACAGCCACUCUGCUCAAAAGAGUCCAAGCCGUCUCCUAUACGGAGGCCACCUCCGACCAGACUCACCGCAGCCGGACCUCACCGCAGCCCAGCAGGCACCACCGCAGCCGUUCCCCCGACAAUCAUCGAAAAGAUUCACGGCGUGACGACGACGGUCGGGAUGCUGGCGGUCACCGCGAGCAGAAUCGCAGGCGUGGUCAAGAAGUAAACUAGUACAGGGAUCUUCGAUACAACAUCCCUCCCAAAGACGCCCGGGACCGUAUCAACAGGCGCGCCACAGAGAGAGCAGUUCACGAAAACUUGCGUCGUAUUGAGUACGAUGCAACGCACGGCCCCCCGGGCCUGAAGCAGUUCUCUUCACACCUCCGCCAGGUCGUGUGGCCGCGAAAUUUCAAGCUUGAGAAACUCAAAAAAUACGAGGGCAAGGAAAACCUAGAGAACUGGAUCACUCUUUACGAGAUCGCCGUCCGAUCAGCAGCAGGAGAUGAGCACGUCAUGGCCAACUACUUUCCAGUAGUCCUUGACCAGGCUGGUCACCAGUGGCUCCUAGGCCUGCCCGAGGACUCUUUCGACUCCUGGGAAGAACUAUGCCAAGCCUUCAUCGACAACUUCAUCGCCACCUGCGAGCAGCCUGGGAACAAGUACGACCUCGAAAGGAUAAGGUAUAGGAAAAACGAGCCUCUGCGCGACUACAUCCGACGAUUCUCGGAUAUGCGCCUAAAGAUCCCGAAGAUUUCCCACGACGAGGCUAUAUCUGCUUUCAUCAAGGGGCUGCGUUUCCACGAAGCACUGAGAAACAAGCUACUGUGCAAAAGGCCAGCAAUGAUGACAGAGAUCCUAGCCACGGCCAAAAAUUAUGCCGACGCCGAUGACGCAGAAAAACUCAUCCGACAUGACACCAGAGGUCCCGACCAGCCUUCUCGGCGUGACGACAGUCGCGGCCGUUUCGACAACAGGAACCAUCGUCGCCCCAACAACCAGGACCACAGAGAAGGCUGGGACAGGCGCCGUGACAAUCGCAACGAUUUCAGAGGCAAGCGCCCUCGCGAUCACGACCACGAGGUGAAUACGGUCAAGCGCCCCAACGGACGGCGGGAUUACCAAGAAGACUACAACAAGACGUUGAAGGGACCAUGCCAACUGCAUCCAAAAUCCAACCACAGCAUGGAAGAAUGCCGCGUCCUCAAAAGCAUCUAUAUGCGGCGAGCAGCUCAAGACGAUCCCUCCAAGAAAAACGGGAAACAAGACGGGCGCGAUCACAAAGACAAGGAUGAAGACCAGGAUAGGGACCCACGACACCAGUAUGUCAGUCCUACUGACGUGGUCCAUUCUAUCUUCGGAGGCAAGGUCUCCAUCGAGUCUAAACGAGAAAGAAAGCUCUUAAAGAGAGCCUGCCUCAACAUAGACAACACUGAUGGCCUGAUCGCCGAUCCAAAAUUUCCUCCCUGGUCGCACAGGGAAAUCUCCUUCCGCAGGAAGGAUCAGUGGGCCGCUAUCCCGGAGCCAGGUCGUUUCCCUCUAAUCUUGGACCCUUGCAUCAACAGCAUCAGAUUCGAGCGCGUGCUCGUGGACGGAGGAAGCUCCAUUGACAUCCUCUUCCGCAACAGCCUGCCCGCUCUCAAGAUAUCUCCGGCACAAUUAAAACCCUACGAUUCUCAAUUCUGGGGAGUCUUGCCAGGUCAGAGUUCAGUGCCCCUCGGACAGAUAACAUUGCCUGUCCAAUUUGGCACGCCCAACCACUUUCAAACAGAGUUCGUCAACUUUGUGGUCGCCGACUUCGAUGGGACCUACCACGCUAUACUGGGCCGACCAUCGCUGACAAAGUUCAUGGCAGUCCCGCAUUACUCAUACCUGGUCCUCAAAAUACCUACGGAGAAGGGUGUCCUAACCGUCAGAGGCAAUGUCUACACUGCAUAUACAUGCGAAGAGGAGAGCUUCAAGAUCACCGAAGCAAUUGAUCUCUCAAUACGCAUGGCAGAAAUAGCAACCCAAGCCGCACAGCUACCUCCCGACCAGCUCCGACUACCCGAGCAGGAGACCGCCAGGAAGAAUUCAAAAUCCAAGGAGUAUAAAGAAGUACAACUGGUCGACGGCAGCCCCGAGAAGACGGCCCUCAUCAGGGCCAAUCUGGACCCCAAAUAGGAAGACGCGCUCGUCAGGUUUCUAAGGGACAACGUGAGCGUUUUCGCAUGGAAACCCACAGACAUGCCUAGCGUCCCACGAAACCUGAUCGAGCACUCCUUAAACGUCUCGAAGACUGCAAGACCCAUCAAGCAAAAGCUGCGACGGUUCGCUCGUGACAAAAAGGAGGCUAUUAGGACAGAAAUAACACGGCUUCUAGCAGCCGGAUUUAUAAAAGAAGUGUAUCAUCCCGAUUGGCUUGCCAAUCCGGUUCUUGUACGCAAAAAGAAUAAUGAAUGGAGAAUGUGCGUUGAUUACACUGAUCUCAAUAAACACUGUCCUAAAGAUCCUUUUGGUCUCCCUCACAUCGACGAGAUGGUCGACUCAACGGCCGGAUGCGAACUCCUCUCCUUCCUAGACUGCUACUCUGGUUAUCACCAGAUCUCGCUAAAGGAACACGAUCAGAUCAAAACGUCUUUCAUUACUCCUUUCGGCGCAUACUACUACAUGACCAUGUCAUUCGGACUCAAAAAUGCCGGAGCCACCUAUCAAAGGGCCAUCCAGCAAUGCCUCCACGACGAGAUUCGUGAUGACCUCGUCGAGGCCUAUGUAGAUGACGUCGUCGUUAAAACAAGGGAUGCAAGCACCCUAAUCGACAACUUAGACUGAACCUUUAAGGCGCUAAAUAGGUACAAGUGGAAGCUUAACCCCAAAAAGUGCAUCUUUGGUGUCCCUUCUGGUCUACUACUCGGCAACGUCGUCAGCCGUGACGGCAUACGGCCAAAUCCUUCAAAAGUAAAAGCAGUACUUGACAUGCGACCACCUAAGAAUGUUAAGGAUAUUCAGAAGCUCACCGGAUGUAUGCCCUCUCUCAGCCGCUUCAUCUCAAGACUACGAGAAAAAGGCCUCCCUUUCUUCAAACUCUUGAAGGCGUCAGAAAAAUUCUCCUGGACAGAAGAGGCUGACGCUGCGUUCACCCAGCUUAAGACUUUCCUCACUUCACCGCCUGUUCUCACAGCGCCUCAGCCCAAUGAAGACCUAGUCCUUUACAUUGCUGCAACCGACAGGGUUGUUUCGACGGCAAUAGUGGUCGAGCGAGACGAGCCAGGUCACGUCUACAAGGUCCAGAGACCCGUUUACUUCAUAAGCGAAUUCCUAAACGAGUCCAAGGCCAGAUAUCCGCAAAUACAAAAGCUCAUAUACGCCAUUCUAAUAACAUCGAGAAAGCUAAAGCAUUACUUUGACGGCCAUCAAGUCUUGGUAACCACCAGUUUCCCUCUUGGGGAUAUUCUGCGCAAUAAAGACGCCAACGGCAGAAUUGUAAAAUGGGCAAUGGAAUUAUGCCCAUUCUCCCUGGAGUUCCAGAGCCGCACCACAGUCAAGUCUCAGGCCCUGGUCGAUUUCAUCGCAGAGUGGACGGAUCUCAACGAGCCUCACGUCCACGAUGUCUCCGACCACUGGUUGAUGUUCUUCGACGGGUCCUUAAACAUCAACGGCGCUGGCGCUGGGAUACUUUUCGUGUCGCCUAACAAGGACAAACUGCGUUACGUCCUUAGGAUCCUUUUUCCGGCAUCAAACAACGUCGCCGAGUACGAAGCAUGCCUUCACGGCAUACGAUUAGCCGUUGAGUUGGGAGUCAAACGCCUUUAUGUCUAUGGCGACUCCGCUUUAGUUAUCAACCAGCUCAACAAGGAAUGGGACGCAACCCACGAGAAGAUGGAUCUCUACUGCAAAGAAAUUCGCAAGUGGGAAGCCAACUUCUAUGGCGUAGAGUACAUCCACGUGGUCCGGGACAAGAACCAGGCAGCAGAUGUGUUGUCAAAGUUAGGGUCAUCUCGGGCCCAGAUCCCGCGAGGUGUUUUUGUCUAGGAUAUCCAUGAGCCAAGCGUGGGCAAAGACCCAGCCGAAAAGCAACCUAUUAAGGCAAUGCUCAUAGACGACGUUACUCCGACAACCAGUAGUCGUGAUUGGCGCACCCCGUUCAUCAGAUAUAUAUCGGACGGGUCAGGCUUUCAGGAUAAAAUAGAGAACGAGCGCCUCAUUCGACGGUCAAAGAAUUACAUACUGGUGGACGGCAAACUUAUGCGAAAAAAUGCAAGUUCUGAAGUGCUGCUCAAAUGCAUAUCCCAGGAUGAUGGCAUCAAGCUCCUAGACGACAUACAUGCCGGAUCCUGCGGCAAUCAUGCUGCCUCCAGAACACUGGUCGGGAAAGCUUUCCGAGCAGGUAUUUAUUGGCCAACCGCUGUCAACGACGCAGAAAAACUGGUCCGACACUGUGAGGGAUGUCAGUUCUUCGCUAAAAGGACCCACGUACCUGCUCAUGAGAUUCAAACUAUCCCGUCGUCCUGGCCUUUCACCUGCUGGGGGCUCGACAUGAUCGGGCCAUUUAAACCGGCCCCUGGCAACUUCAAGUUCGUUUUCGUUUUAAUUGACAAGUUCUCAAAGUGGAUUGAAUACAUGCCACUGGUCAAAGCAACCUCCAAGAAGGCCGUGGAGUUCCUCAAUCAAAUCAUACACAGAUUCGGGAUCCCAAACAGUAUAAUCACCGACCUGGGUACUCAGUUCACUGGCACCACAUUUUGGGACUUCUGCGAUGACAGAGGCAUAGUCAUAAAAUACGUGUCAGUAGCUCACCCACGAGCAAAUGGCCAAGUUGAGCGUGCGAACGGAAUGAUUAUUGACGCCCUAAAGAAAAGGUUGUACACCGAGAACGACAGAGCACCUGGUCGAUGGAUGAAAGAGUUACCGGCUGUGGUCUGGGGUCUCUGAACUCAGGCUAGUCGGAACACGGGAGUGUCACCCUACUUCAUGGUUUACGGCACCGAGGCAGUUCUGCCGUCUGAUAUAACCUUUGGUUCUCCUAGAAUUGAAAACUUCGACCAGUCAACAGCCGACAACGCCAGGGAGCUCGAAAUUAACUGCAUGGAAGAAAAGCGUCUAAAUUCAUGUCUCCGAACAGCAAAGUAUCUUGCAGCAAUCAGACGGUACCACAACAGGAACGUCAAGGACCGUUCUUUCGUGGUCGGCGAUCUGGUACUCAGAUGGAAAACAAGCCAGGAAGGAAUGCACAAGCUAUCCACCCCCUGGGAAGGACCCUUUGUGGUCGCCGAAGUCACAUGACCCACAUCCUACAGAUUGGCAUAUCCAGACGGAACACGCGUGCCUAACUCUUGGCACAUAGACAAACUGCACCGAUUUUAUCCAUAAGUUCUAGUAACUUUUGCUUGUAAGUGUCUUAUAAUUGGCAAUAAUAAAAGUUUUUUCUUUUUGGCUAUACUUUGUUUACACGCAGAGCUUUCGGCGAAGAGCAACAAUGUCCUCUGCGACGGAAACUCUUAACGACUACGAAUCAAACACAGUGACACGUCACUCAGAUAACUUUACAGCGCUCAAAAUAAUAGUCAUGACAAAAGCAAACUUUAUUACAAACUUUACAUACAAAGUUUACAAUAAAUACCCCGACGGGAGGUCACUAGUCUACUCCUAAAGAAUACCCUACUGGCCUACUGCUCGGGCUGAUCACCCGCCUGGCCUUGCUGCCCGGACGAAGGCGUCGGGGCCACCGGCGCCUGGCUGGUCGAGACCGCAGGCGUCGACCACCCAUCUCCAGCAACAGACGCCCCUGACAACUCCCUGGCCGACCUGUCUGAACCCGGCUGGUCGGGGGGAGUGGCCGUCCCGCAUAGAUUAAUGUCGCCGAUCACCGUCGAUGACAAGUCCAGCAGACCGGCCCGAAGCUCGUCCGCCUCCUGUGGGCCGACCUCCUUGGGAUACCCCUUCUCCAGCCUAGACAAGUCGACCUGGGGGUAGUGGGCGCGCACCAUGCUGAGAAUAUGUGCGCCAGCGAACUACCCGGCGUCCUUCACGAACUGCUAGAGCCAAUCCCAGGCCCGUUGCGCCUUUUCGACAGGCGUCAGCUUUGGCGCGCGGGGCUGGCUUUCUAGAAGCUCGGGGCUGAUCAAGUCUAGGAUCGGGGAUACUCCUUUCCAGAGCCUAAUACAAUUAGUCUUCCAGGAGUCCCGAUCCUUGACCAGCUCGUCUAAGUGCAUCUUCGUAUUCACCUUGAGCACUGCAAAUCAAGGAGUAGGUCAGCACAAUGAAAAGAAUGUUGAGCAGCUAUACAAAAGGGUGGCGGCACGGCUACUUACCAGACAACUCCCGGUUCCUCUGGCCUAGCUCCUCGCCUGCUCGGCGCCCGGUUUCCAGCGCCCCAGCAAGUUCUUGUCCGAGCUGCUCCUUCUCCUGCCGAAGCCGCGCCACCUCCUCCUCCAAGCCUACGUGAAUAAUCUUUUGGUCAGCAAAAAUCAACCAACGCGGCUACAAACAGCUGCCUCGGAGUACGAGACUGACCUUCUCGCUGCCGAUACUGGUCGGCCAAGCGUCGGGUAAGCUCGAGACGGCGCUCUUCCUGAGCGCUCAUCUCGGCCACCUUCUCUCCAACUUCUGACCGAAGCCGGUCUACCUCCGUGGCCAGGGUUUUGUUCUCGGCCACAAUGCCUUCUAUUUGGUCGAAGCACCUCUUCCGGUACUUCGCCGUUUUCAUUGCGCCCUGCAAGAAAGAGUAUAUGUUGAACAUAGGAACACUGCACAUAGUUGUCGAGCAGCACAUAGGACCACUUACCUUAACAUCGUCCACGAGACGCUUAGCCGCGCAUUCCACCCUCGCGGCCUCCUCCGUCUCCGCGAGCUCCUCGUGUUCAAUAAAGUGGUCCCCGCGUUGGCGCCACACAUAGACGUGCUGGCGACCAUCAUGGGGACGACCCUAGACCUCCUCCACGUCAUCAUCAGAGGCCUCCUAGGGCUCCUCGUGUGCCGCACUGCCCCCGGCUGCAGACGAGAGCAUUACGGGUCCCUGGUCUAGGCCAGGGGAACCUACGGGCGAAGAGGCCCCUGCUCGGGGCGGUAUCGGGACCCUCGCUUCUUCGGCUGGAGGAGUCGGGACUCUGCCUUCCUCCUCCGCAACAGUACUCGGGGGAGGGGUCCUUGUCGCCUCCUCACCCCUCGGCGGAGUGCUCGCCGCGGCACUCGCCGGGGCGGUUUGUCUGUCAGCGCCUGUAGUAGCGGCCGCCACUGCAGGCUGCUCUGUGACCUGCGGCGCGGCGUCCUCAACGGCGGCAGCAGGCUCGGCUGUCCUCUGCUCCGCGACUUGGUCGGGGUUGACGUCCGACGCCGCGCAGAGCAAUGAAGCGAAAUUUUCAACAACAGUAAAAAAAAUGCCAAAAUACGUAAGUUGAACACUUACAGGUCUGAUCGACGGUGGGUUGCGGUGAACCUCCUCCUAGCCCUACCGGUCGGCGCCGGUGCCCCCGUUUCUGCGACGCGUGGUGCAGGAGGGUCGCUGGCCACCCGAUCAGUGGUGGCCGGCGUAUUAUCCGAACGGCUACAAGGCCUUCGGACCAGCGACGGUGCGGCCUCCUCCUCCUCAUCAUCGUCGUCGGUGAUCCGGACGAGCCGACGGCGUUUUGGCGCCUGGCUGCUCUCUGCCGGCAGCGUCGGCGCAGGUGAAGGAUCUGCUGCCAAUGGCCUCUUCCCAGUCACCCGGUCCUCGGUGCUCGAGGCGGGACGGACUUGCUCCUCUUCACUGCUGGUUUACCGAGUACACCGAGCAGCGUCCUCCUCCGGCGGAUCCUCCCCUGCGAGAUUUUCCAUCCCAGGCGCUAGUGACACAUACACUGUGCACCGGUCAACAUCUCCGAUCUACAAAAUUAACACAGACAAGUCAGCAGCUGACAAUAACAAACGCUAAGGAGGCACAAUCAGGAAGAAGCGAUACCUUAGGAGCUGGUCGUCCCAGCUUGAAAGCUUGCACCCGAUCACUACCUCGGAUGAAGCUCCCGUCAGCAAAGUUGAACAGCUCGUUCAACAACUGCUGCACCUCCGCCUUCUCCAAGAUCUCAGGUGUCAUCCUAGUCGGGUCUUGGCUUCCAGCAUACUCGUACGCCGAGUGCACCCUCUUCUGGCAGGGCAUCACCCGACGACAAACGAAGUUGCCGACCACACCCAGCCCGUCCAAACGCGACCAGUCGAUCAGUUUCAUCAGUUCCGCUACCUGGCCGGUGAACUCUGAACGGUCGGUCCAACUGACCCUCUUCUCAGGGAUGUACCCCACGUCGCAGAACGUGGAGCUGCCCGGCUCUUCCCUAACAUAGAACCACUUCCUGUACCAUUCGGUUAGGGAAGUGUUCCAUGGGCAGCUCAGAUAAUGGUUCUUCAUCCCGUCGCGAAGAAUGAGGUAUACUCCACCUGCAAUCUUGGAGCCUCCAACCGCUCCCUUCUUCCUCAAACAGAAAAGAUAACGAAAAAGAUCGAAGUGCGGCUCUAUGCCAACAUAGGCCUCGCAAAGAUGGAUAAAGGUGGAGAUGAGAAGGAUAGAGUUCGGGUGCAGAUUGCAAAUCCCGAUCUCAUAGUACAAGAGAGGCCUCUGAAGAAAAGGAUGAACAGGAACCACAAAACCCCUCUUAACGAAAUCCUCGAAUACUACGAUCUCACCGGCGCGGGGGUCGGGGUAGCUCUCCCCCUCUGGCGCCCUCCAGCCGCCGAGCUCUGGGCUGUGCAGUAGCCCCAUAUUGAUGAGGUCGCCAAGGGACUUCGAAGUGCUGCGGGAUUUCUUCCAUUCCUUGGCCAUCAGCUCGGCCAUCUUCUUGGAGUUGCUCUUCGCCAUUGGAGAUGCGGGAGUGGUUGCGAGCUAGGAGGGUGCAGGUGAUUGUAGAAGGCAAGAGCGGAAGGCUUGAAGGCAAUGGUAGGGUGAGCAAUGCGGGGGUAACUGUCGGGAUUUUAUAAACCACAACUCCACCCCUCCCACUUCCCGCAUUCUUGGGAAGUGGGCGGGACCAAUGGUGGACGCGGCGCUUCGGUUUCCAAAGAUUAUCAGCAAUUAAUGCGGCGGCAUUUUCGUACAAAUUGAUGGUUUCUUUUUCUCAAACCCUGCAAAGGGCGGCUGCACAGUUGCCAGGCGCAGCUUUUCACGCAACCAUCUGACAUUACGCCAAGAGGUCUCGUCACGUCAAUUAAUUACGUGGUAAGAUUUUUUCAAAAUAAAACAGACAAAAAUUGGAAGAAAGGUCAACAACUCAAGGUCUGCACCGACCACCGAGCACUGUAUGCUCGGGGACUGGUCGCCCAGUCUAUCAACUCGGUAACUCAAGGACUGCACCGACCACCGAGCACUGUAUGCUCGGGGACUGGUCGCCCAGUCUAUUAACUCGGUAAUUCAAGGACUGCACCGACCACCGAGCACUGUAUGCUCGGGGACUGGUCGCCCAGUCUAUUAAUUCGGAAAUUCAAGAAAUGCACCGACCACCGAGCACUUGAUGCUCGGGGACUGGCCGCCAAAUCCAUUGGUUUGGGAAUUCAAGGACUGCACCGACCACCGAUCACUUGAUGCUCGGGGACUGGUCGUCCAGUCUGUUAGUUCGGAAAUCUGUGGGCUGUAUCGAUCUCCGAGCAUUGUACACUCAGGGACUGGUUGACCAGCUCGUCAAAUUGAUAAGCCUAUCUUAUAGUAAAUGGACAUGAGACGCUCGGGGACUGGACAAUUUUAAUUUUUUAGACCUUGCUACAAGGUUCAUACUUCGCCUUCCAGCAAGCUCGGGGACUACAUCGGUACGAUGCAUCUGGCGAUGCAUCUCAGAUUCAAAGUUACUUUGAAGAUUUUUCUUUUGACCCUGGCACCACGUGCCUACGUCACCUAUUACCAGGCUCGGGGACUAAGUGGGCACACUUCACCUUGCGGUGAACAUGCUUGCUUUUUUUUGAAGAUCUGUACUUUUCGGAAAAGUAAAGUGGGCACACUUCACCGGAAAAGAAAUAUUUUUUCUCAAGAACACCAUGCAUUCUUCGAACAAUUGGCUUCUUCGAUGAUGAUGUUGAUCAAAUAUAUUUAGAUUUGAUCAAAAUAUCGUUGCAACUGUCUGGACAAUUUUCAUGUUGAUUGAAGACGUCAAGUUUCAUUGGUCGAAGAAGCUCAAGACGGCGUGUUACUUCACAAUACAUGGUGCUCGGGGACUAGCUGUGGGGGUAUAAACCCCUAUACCCUUACGGCCAGACUUGGGCCAGGAGACUUGGCCCAUUACGAGACAAAUUCAAAGGCUUGAUCCGAUAGCUCAGAAUUUCGCGCAAAGAAACAAGACGUGGAGAUCAAGCAGGAUUCUAGUCGGUUAGAAUAGGAAUUGAUAUCGAACUAUCUAUGGCAAUUGUAACCGACUAGGAUUAGUUUCCAGAUCUGUAACCCUGCCCUCUGGACUAUAUAAGGAGGGGCAAGGGACCCCCCUAGGACACAUUAUUCUCUCAAUCCAAUACAAUCAGACGCAAGACGUAGGUAUUACGCCAACUCAGCGGCCGAACCUGGAUAAAAAGCUUGUCCGUGUCUUGCGUCACCAUCGAGUUCGUAGUUUGCGCACCGUCUGCCGAUAAACUACUACCGUGGGCAUACCCCAAGGUAGACUGCCGACCAGCUUUCGUCGACAAGAAGAGGCUUCCUCACCUCACCACCUGUUCUCACAGCACCUCAGCCCAAUGAAGACCUACUCCUUUACAUUGCGGCAACCGGCAGGGUUGUCUCCAUGGCAAUAGUGGUCGAGCGAGACGAGCCAGGUCACGUCUACAAGGUCCAGAGACCCGUUUAUUUCAUAAGCGAAGUCUUAAAUGAGUCCAAGGCCAGAUACCCACAAAUACAGAAGUUCAUAUACGCCAUCCUAAUAACGUCGAGGAAGCUAAAGCACUACUUCGACGGCCAUCGGGUCUUGGUAACCACCAGUUUCCCACUUGGGGAUAUUCUGCGCAAUAAAGACGCCAACGGCAGAAUUGUAAAAUGGGCAAUGGAGUUAUGCCCAUUUUCCCUGGACUUCCAGAGCCGCACCACAGUCAAGUCUCAGGCCCUGGUCGAUUUUAUAGCAGAGUGGACAGAUCUUAACGAGCCUCCCGUUUCCGAUGUCUCCGACCACUGGUCAAUGUUCUUCGACGGGUCCUUGAACUUCAUCGGCGCCGGCGCUGGGAUACUUUUCGUGUCGCCUAACAAGGACAAGCUACGUUACAUCCUUAGGAUCCUUUUCCCAGCGUCAAACAACGUCGCCGAGUACGAAGCAUGCCUGCAUGGCAUACGACUAGCCGUUGAGUUGGGAGUCAAACGCCUCUACGUCUACGGCGACUCCGCUUUAGUUAUCAACCAGCUCAAUAAGGAAUGGGACGCAACCCACGAGAAGAUGGAUCUCUACUGCAAAGAAAUCCGCAAAUGGGAAUCCAACUUCUAUGGCAUAGAGUACAUCCAUGUGGUCCGGGAUAAGAACCAGGCUGCGGAUGCGCUGUCAAAGUUAGGGUCGUCUCGGGCUCAGAUCCCGCGAGGUGUUUUCGUCCAGGACAUCCAUGAGCCAAGUGUGGGCACAGACCUGGUCGAAAAGCAACCUAUUGAGGCAAUGCUCAUAGACGACGCUACUCCAACAACCAGCAGCCAUGAUUGGCGUACACCGUUCAUCAGAUAUAUAUCGGACGGGUCAGGCUUUCAGGAUAAAACGGAGAACGAGCGCCUCAUUCGACGAUCAAAGAAUUACAUACUAGUGGACGGCAAACUUAUGUGAAAAAAUGCAAGCUCUGAAGUGCUGCUCAAAUGCAUAUCCCAAGAUGAUGGCAUCAAGCUCGUAGACGACAUACACGCCGGAUCCUGCGGCAACCAUGCCGCCUCCAGAACGCUGGUCGAGAAGGCUUUCUGAGUAGGUUUUUACUGGCCAACCGCGGUCACCGACGCAGAAAAACUGGUCCGACAUUGUGAAGGAUGCCAGUUCUUCGCCAAAAGGACCCACGUACCUGCUCAUGAGAUUCAAACUAUCCCGUCAUCUUGGCCUUUUGCCUGCUGGGGCCUCGACAUGAUCGGGCCAUUUAAACCGGCCCCCGGCAACUUCAAGUUCGUCUUCGUGUUAAUCGACAAAUUCUCGAAGUGGAUUGAAUACAUGCCACUGGUCAAAGCAACCUCCGAGAAGGCUGUGGAAUUCCUCAAUCAAAUCAUACACAGAUUCGGGAUCCCCAACAGUAUAAUCACCAACCUGGGCACUCAGUUCACUGGCACUACAUUCUGGGACCUCUGCGAUGACAGAGGCAUAGUCAUAAAAUACGUGUCAGUAGCUCGCCCACGAGCAAACGGUCAAGUCGAGCGCGCGAAUGGAAUGAUCAUUGAUGCCCUAAAGAAAAGGUUGUACACCGAGAAUGACAGAGCGCCUGGUCGAUGGAUGAAAGAAUUGCCAGCCGUGGUCUGGGGCAUCCGAACACAGGCCAGUCGCAAUACAGGUGUAUCACCCUACUUCAUGGUUUAUGGCUCUGAGGCAGUGCUUCCAUCUGAUGUAACCUUCAGAUCUCCAAGAGCUGAAAACUUUGAUCAAUCAACGGCUGACAACGCUAGGGAGCUCGAAAUCAACUGCAUGGAGGAAAAGUGUCUAAUUUCAUGUCUCCGAACAGCAAAGUAUCUCGAAGCCAUCAGGCGCUAUCACAACAGGAACGUCAAAGACCGUUCUUUCAUGGUCGGUGACCUGGUACUCAAGUGGAAAACAAGCCAGAAAGGAACGCACAAGUUAUCCACGCCUUGGGAAGGACCCUUUGUGGUCGCCGAAGUCACACGUCCUACAUCCUACAGACUGGCGUAUCCAAAUGGAACACGCGUGCCUAAUUCCUGGCACAUAGACAAGCUACGCCGUUUUUAUCCAUAAGUUCCAGUACCUUUUGCUUGUAAGUUUUUUAUAAUUAGCAAUAAUAAAGGUUUUCCUUUUUCGCUAUACAUUGUUUACACGCAGAGCUUUCGACGAGCACAACAAUCUUCCUCUGCAGCAAAGACCCUUAACUACCACCAAUCAAACACGGUGAUACAUCACCCAGAUAACAUUACAGCGCUCAAAAUCAUGGUCAUGACAAAAUCAAACUUUAUUACAAACUUUACAUACAGAGUUUACAAUAAACACCCCGACGGGCGGUUACUAGUCUACUCCUACAGACUAUCCUACAGGCCUACUGCUCGGGCUGAUCAGCCGCCUGGCCUUGCUGCCCGGACGAAGGGGUCGGGGCCACCGGCGCCUGGCUGGUCGAGACCGCAGGUGUCAACCGCUCAUCUCUGGCAAUAGACGCCCCCGACAACUCCCUGGCCGAUCUGUCUGACCCCGGCUGGCCGAGGGGAGUGGCCGUCCCGCAUAGGUUGAUGUCGCCGAUCACCGUCGAUGACAAAUCUAGCAGGCCCGCUCGAAGGUCGUCCGCCUCCUGCAGGCCGACUUCCUUGGGGUACCCCCUCUCCAGCCUGGACAAGUCAACCAGGGGAUAGUGGGCGCGCACCAUGCUGAGGACAUGCGCGCCGGCGAACUCCCCGGCGUCCUUAACGAACUGCUGGAGCCAAUCCCACGCCCGUUGCGCCUUCUCGACUGGCGUCAGCUUCGGCGCGCGGGGCUGGUCUUCAGGAAGCUCGGGGCUGAUCAAGUCCAGGACCGGGGCUACUCCUUUCCAAAGCCUAAUGCAGUUAGUCUUCCAGGAGUCCCGAUCCUUGACCAGCUCGUCUAAGUGCUUCUUGGUAUUCACCUUGAGCACUACAAACAAAGCAGGAGGUCAGUUUAAGAACACUGAAAGGAACGUUGAGCAGCCAAAUAAAAAAAGGGGGAGCGGCACGGUCAUUACCAGACAAUUCUCGAUUCCUGUGGCUUAGCUACUCGCCUGCUCGGCACCCGGCCUCUAGCGCCCCGGCAAGCUCUUGGCCGAGCUGCUCCUUCUCUUGCCGAAGGCGCGCGACCUCCUCCUCCAAGUCUACAUGAACAAUCCCCUGGUCACCAAACCUAACCACGCGGUUACAUACAGCUACCCGGGGUAUGUGACUAACCUGUCCGCUGCCGAUACUGGUCGGCUAAACGCCGAGUGAGCUCGAGACGACGCUCUUCCUGAGCGCUCAUCUCGGCCACCUUCUCCCCAACCUCCGACCGCAGCGGGUCCACCUCCGCGGACAGGGCCUUGUUCUCGGCCACGAUGCCCUGUAUUUGGUCGAAGCACCUCUUCCGGUACUUCGCCGUUUUCAUUGCGCCCUGCAAGAAGAACACAUGUUGACCAAGCAAAACAGCACAAAAGCGUCGAGUAGCAGAAAGGACCACUUACCUUAACCUCGUCCACGAGACGUUUGGCUGCGCGCUCCACCCUUGCGGCCUCUUCCGUCUCCGCGAGCUCCUCGUGUCCGAUGAAGUAGUCCUCGCGUUGGCGCCACACGUAGACGUGCUGGCGGCCAUCACUGGGACGACCUUCAAUCUCCUCCACGUCGUCGUCAGAGGCCGCAUGGGUUUCCUCGUUCGCCGCGCUACCACCGGCUGUGGUCGCUGGCAUCACUGGCCCCUGGUCCAGGCCCGGGGAGCCUGCGGACGAAGAGGCUCCUGCCCGGGGCGUCGUUGGGACUCCCCUCUCUUCGGCGGGGGGAGGAGUCGGGACUCUGUCUUCCUCCUCCACGAUGCUACUUGGAGGAGGGGUCCUCGUAGCCUCCUCAUCCCUCGUCGGGGUGCUCGCCGUGGUCCUUGCUGAGGCCGGGAGCUCCUCGGCGCUCUCAGCCACGGUUGCUGCCGCGGGCUGCUCCGUGGUCUGCAGCGCAACGUCCCCAGCAGCAGCGGCAGGUUCGGCCACCUUCUGGCCAGCAACGUGGUCAGGAUCGACGUCCGACGCCGCGCUAACAAUAAGACAACAUUUAAACAGUGUCAAAACGUAGCAACAAAGACGCAAAACAUCACAGCACGAAAGUAAGAAUGCAAACUUACAGGUCAGAGCGCCGGUGCGUUGCGGUGAACCGCCUCCUAACCCUACCGGUCGGUGCCUACGCUCCCGUCUCUACGACAUGCGUCGGCUCGAUGUGCGGAGCAGGCGGGUCACUGGUCACCGGACCAGUGGUGGUCGGCGCAACGUCCAGACAACUGCGAGGCCUCCGGACCAACGACGGCACGGCCUCCUCCUCCUCGUCGUUGUCGUCGGUGAUCCGGACGAGCCAACGACACUUUGGCGCCUGGCUGCUCUCUGCGGGGAGGGGUCUGCUGCCAAUGGCCUUUUCCCCGCCACUCUUUCCUCGGUGGUCGGGGCACGGUGGGUCUGCUCCUCCUCACUGCUGGUGUACCGAGUACACCGAACAGCGUCGUCCUCUGGCGGAUCUUCCCCCGCGGGAUUCUCCAUCCCAGGUGCCUGUGAUACAUACACUGUGCACCGGUCAACGUCUCCGAUCUGCAACGGCAACAAAGACAAGUCAGCAACUAGGAAGAGGCAAGAACUAAGGAGGUACAAUCAGUCGGUAACAUUACCUUAGGAGCUGGUCGCCCCAGCUUGAAGGCCUGCACCCGAUCACUACCACGGACGAAGCUGCCGUCCGCAAAAUUGAACAGCUCGUUCAACAGCUGCUGCACUUCUGCCUUCUCCAAGACCUCAGGCCUCAUCCUGGUCGGGUCCUGGCUUCCAGCGUACUCGUACGCCGAGUGCACCCUCUUCUGGUAGGGCAUCACCCGACGACAGACGAAGUUGCCGACCACCCCUAGCCCAUCCAAACGCGACCAGUCGAUCAGCUUCAUCAGGUCCGCUACUUGACCUGCGAACUCUGGGCGGUCGAUCCAACUGACCCUCUUCUCGGGGAUGUACCCCACGUCGCAGAACGUGGAGCUGCCCGGCUCUUCCCUGACGUAGAACCACUUCUUGUACCAAUCGGUGAGAGAAGUGUUCCAUGGGCAGUUUAGAUAUCGGUUCUUCAUCCCGUCAUGAAGAUUGAGGUAUACUCCACCUGCAAUCUUUGAGCCUCCAACCGCCCCCUUUUUCCUCAAACAGAAAAGAUAACGGAAAAGAUCGAAGUGCGGCUCUAUUCCAACAUAGGCCUCGCACAGAUGGAUGAAAGUGGAGAUGAGAAGAAUUGAGUUCGGGUGCAGAUUGCAGAUCCCGGUCUCAUAGUAUAGAAGAAGCCCCUGGAGAAAAGGAUGGACAGGAACCCCAGAACCCCUCUUGAGAAAAUCUUCGAACACUACAAUCUCACCAGCACGGGGGUCGGGGUAGCUCUCCCCCUCUGGCGCCCUCCAGCCGCCGAGCUCUGGGCUGUGCAGUAGCCCCAUGUCGACGAGGUCGUUGAGGGACUUCACAUUGCUUCGGGACUUUUUCCAUUCCUUGGCCAUCAGCUCGGCCCUCUUCUUGGAGUCGCUCUUCGCCAUUGACGUUGCAGGAGUGACUGUGAGUUGGGAGGAUUGACGGUGGUUGAAGAAAGCAAGAACGGAAAGUUUGAAGGCAAUGGCAGGGUAAGCAAUACGGGGGCACCAUCAAGCUUUUAUAAGUAACAACUCCACCCCUCCCACUUCCCGCAUCCUUGGGAAGUGGGCGGGCCCAACGGCGGACGCGGCGCUUCGGCUUCCAACAAUUACCAGCAGUUAAUACGGCGGCCUUUUUGCAUAAUUAAUGGUUUCCUUUUCUCGAACCGCGCAAAGAGCGGCUGCACAGUUACCGCGCCCACCUUUUCAUGCAACCACCUUACAGCGCGUCAGGGGGUCUCGUCACAUCACCCAUUUAUGUGAUGAGACAUUUUUCAAAAUAACAGACGAAAAUUGGUGGUGGAUCAAACGUUCCUGGGAACUACACCGACCACCCAGCACUGUAUGCUCGGGGACUGGUCGUCCAUUUUUUCGUGUAUGGAGACCUGGGGACUGCACCGACCACCGAGCACUGUAUGCUCGAGGACUGGUCGCCCAGUCUGCCAGCUUGAAGAUCUGGGGACUGCCCCGACCACCGAGCACUGUAUGCUCGGGGACUGGUCGACCAGUCUGCCAGUUUGAAACUCUGGGUACUGCACCAACCACCGAGCACUACACGCUCGGGGACUGGUUGAUAAGUCUAUCCGAUGGCAAAUGAGCAUGAGAUGCUCGGGGACUGGAUAACUUGAAUUUUUUAGACUUUGCUACAAGGCUCAUACUUUGCCUUCCAGCGAGCUCGGGGACUACAUCGGUACGAUGCAUCUGGCGAUGCAUCUCAGUUCAGAAUUUCUUUGAUGACUUUUCUUUUGACCCUGGUACCACGUGCCUACGUCACCUACUACCAGGCUUGGGGACUAAGUGGGCACACUUCACCUUGCGGUGAAUAUGCUUGCUUUUUGAAAGGCUAUACUUUUCAGAAAAGUAAAGUGGGCACACUUCACCAGGAAAGAAAUCUUUUUUGAUUAAGAGCACCAUGCAUUCUUCGAACAACCUGCUUCUUUGAUGCCAAUAUCGGUCAACUAUCUUCGAAGUUGGUCAAAAUGUCAUUACGACUGUUUAGGCAACUUUCCUGCUUAUUGAAGACGUCAAGUUUCACUGGUCGAAGAAGCUCAAGACGGCGUGUUACUUCACAAUACAUGGUGCUCGGGGACUAGCUGUGGGGGUAUAAACCCCUAUACCCUUACGGCUAGACUUGGGCCAGGAGGCUUGGCCCAUUACGAGACAAGUUCGAGGCUUGAUCCGAUAGCUCGGAGUUUCGCGCAAGGAAACAAGACGUGGAGAUCAAGGAGGAUUCUAGUCGGUUAAAAUAGGAAUUGAUAUCGAACUAUCUAUGGCAGUUGUAACUGAUUAGGAUUAGUUUCUAGAUCUGUAACCCUGCCUUCCGGACUAUAUAAGGAGAGGCAAGGGACCCCCCUAGGACAUCAUUAUUCUCUCAACACAAAUCAAUACAACAAGACACAAGAUGUAGGUAUUACGCCAGCUCGGCGGCCGAACCUGGAUAAAAAGCUUGUCCGUGUCUUGCGUCACCAUCGAGUUCAUAGCUUGCGCACCGUCUACCGAUAAACUACUACCGUGGGUAUACCCCAAGGAAGACUGCCGACCAGCUUUCAUCGAUAGUGUGGGAUCACAAAGGUGGAAGGACUAAACAUGUUGAAUCGAUUGGGUUGGUUAAUCUAGAGUUGUAAAUCAUACAUGUUUGUCUCUUUUAUUCAUGUGAACGCUAGAAAUAAGGAGAAACUUACAAAAGUGAUAGUCAAGUACCUUAAGAUGUUACCUUACUUGAAGAGUGAUGGUACAGUAUCACCUUGUGGAAGCUUUCCUUUCUUAGCGGUUGUGCAUCGUGUUUGUGGCACCCUCCAUGGAUCAUCUCUUGUGAGCUAUGCCUUCCUUGUGUAAAUUGUUAACCUUCAUGUGUCUCUCUCUUUGUCUCCAAUGUGGGUGUAUCUCAGGACUUCUGUUGACGGUCCUUAAGUAUCAAAUUUAACUAUCAAAUAAACAAAGAAAAGGAUCCAAAUGAAAUCAACAUCGAGACUUAGGGUUUUAUCUGACAGAAUUCCACGAGUUUUGGUGUUUGUCUAUUUUUGCAGGGGGUUAUCAGGAAAUAAGGAAGAAAGGCCCACACGUCAGGAUUACAUAGAUAUAUCAACGUGCCGCGCAAUUAUCUUACAUCUAGAAGACUCCAGAAGCCACGGGAAGGAAGCGGAGACCGAACGGAGUCAGGGACAGGGCGCCCGCCCAAGUCCUUAGGGCGCCCGCCCAUCUUUUUCGGCCAAUCACGCUCAAUCUCGCGGAUUAUGCUCCACCGACCUAAAGGAUCAAGAAUAACCGUUCAAUCAAUGUCGGUUUGAUCCGACGGCCCAGGUUCACUUGAGGGGACUAUAAAACCAGACCCCCUGGCCCCUGGAGGAGGCACCCCUUGAUCAUUAUUCAUUAUUCAUAGACAGAGCAAAAGCUAGGGUUUAGAGAUGAGAGCUCUCCUCUCUUCUCUAAACUAGAGUAGAUCUAGAUAGUAGCGAGAUAGAGAGCGAAGGAGGAUUAGAGGAGAGGCCGGGCUAUCGGUUCUUCCUCCGGUUGUACUUCACCAUGAUCAAGCUCUAAUCAAGCUUGCUCAUGGGAUGACUCUGGUACUCUACUUCUAAUUCAUUAUGCAAUUACUAAUCAUGUAUGUUCUAGUUUAAAACUCUUUUGAGUACUUCUAAUCUAUAGGACCCUAUAGGUUAGAGUUGUAGUAUAGGUGUAAGCGUGGUGCUUAGACCUAGAUUACUUGUGGAUAUCCCCUGACUAGCUGGAUCGUGUGGUAGGCCGCGUAGGUGACAGUUACGUUGGUCCCCUGUAGUCCACCUCUCGUUAGCAGGACGGGUAGGGUUUAUCGGCCUAUGGAUAAGCAUCCUUUGUGGUGUACUCUUAUCACGUGGUUCGUCCCAGACAUAGACAUACCCCUUUGAAGUAGAGAAACCAUAGUUAUCCUCUCUAUUCUGCUACCAUCACCCAUAUACUAGAAUUGCUCUACUCUCUAUUCCCAUAUUAUCACCUAUUGUUAUCUUACCUUUAAUAUUGUUCUUAUUCGAUUCUAUCAUCUUUCCUAUUUACACCUAUCUAUCUAUCUUGGUUAAGUUAGAGCGUAGUUGGUUCUCCCGUUUCCCUGUGGAUACGAUAAAAUCUUUAACCGGGUAAAAGCUUCAACGGUAUACGUGCGCUUGCGGAUUAUCUGUGUGCGUAUAAAUACAAUAGUACACUCUAGUGCCAUGCUGGGGAUGACAACCUAGUAUUCAAGUGGUGUUAGCAAGUGUCAACAAGCAUUUUUGGCGCCGUUGCCGGGGAAACGGUUGCUGAGUUGACUACGAACUAGUUUAAUCAUUUUAUAAAAAAUAAAUAUAUAUAACAAAAAAAAAUAUUUUCCUUUUAUCCUUUGCCUCAUCUCUGCUAAUCUUUCUUCUUAUCUAAUCCUUGAUCUCUGGUCUAUCAUGAAUUCAAACAUGUCUAUCUAUGAAUUUCAUAUACCUUCGGGCACACAUCUCGAACCACCAAAAUCUUCAAAGCAUAUCAUAGCAUCUAGUUUUGAGAUAGACCCCGAAUACAUAGAAUUUAUUCAAAAACAACCUUUCUCAGGAAAAGGUGAGGAAAACCCAUACACACACCUAAGAGAGUUUUAUCGAGUCUGUGACCUCCUUCGCAUAGAAGGCAUGUCCGAUGAGACCCUUAAAUGGAAGCUCUUUCCGUUCUCUUUAACGGGAAAAGCUAGACAUUGGUAUAAACUCAAAGUAGGGAGUGUUCAUGGAGAUUGGAAGGAGUUAUAUAGUAGUUUUCUUUCUAAAUAUUUUCCAAUCUCCAAAGUGGUGGAACUUCGGCGUGAGAUUCUUUCUUUUAGACAACUGGAAGAAGAAUCUCUUGGCAAAUCAUGGGACCGCUUUAUUAACCUUACUCUCACUGGCCCAAAACUUUCUAUUCCAGAAGAAGUUCUUCUAAUUCACUUUUUUGAGGGCCUUAGUAGGAAAAAUAAGCAAACCCUUCAUGCGGCCUCUGGAGGAUCUUUCCACCACCUAUCCACUAGUGAAGCUUGGAAUUUGAUUGAUUUAAUGAGCGGAAAGUCUCCUAGCUUUUAUAUCCCUGAGAAAGAGAAAGAACCUGUUCCUAGACAAGAAGAAGAAGUUUCGAUAGCCAGAUCACAACCACUUCAAUCCCAAACUUUAGCUAUCGAUCCUAAACCAUCAAUACCCCAAAAUUCUCCAAGGGAGGAAGGAAUUCCGACCUUUAAUCUUUUAGAUGCUGAUGGUUUAGACUUCUGGUUCUAUAAGAGACCUUCAAGCAGGGAUAAUUCAAAUCAUUGCAAUAAUGUUUCUCUUAGAGAAUGUCCUGGUUCCUAUCAUGAAGAAGUCGAGGAUGACAUAUCAAGUGAAGGAGAGCUAAGCCAUAUAGACAAUUCUAUCUACUCCCCUUCCAUGUUCACAAGUUCUAAAUCCAUCCUUGACCUUAGAGAUCCCUCUUAUCCCUCUUCUUUUCAGUCUCAUGAUGAUCCUAGCAAUUCACCAAGACGACCAAACCAUAGGAGUCAUGAAGACCAUAAGGAUGGCAUGUCAAGUAAUGCCAUAGAAGGAGAGCUAAGCCAUAUAGAAAAUUCUAACACCUCCCCUAUUUUGAUCACAAGUUCUAAAUGGCUAGAAUGUGUAGAAUGGAUGGAUAAGGAAGAAGCCUUAAUAGGUUCUAACUUUGGCUCAAUUUCAAAUGGUGAGUUCUUGACUCCCUUUGAAGAUGAGAUUCAUCCAACUACAGAAGAGGACAUAGGUGAGACCAAUCCAGGAGAAACUCCGAACAUUCAGAUUAGAGACGAAGAUAACAUUAAUGAGCAUGGAAUUUAUUUCAUAGCCACUUCGUUUACUCCAUGCUCAUAUGCAACAUCUUCCCAAUCUAUUGGUCUCUCCGACAUCACCACACUUGAGAUCUCCAACCCCCUCUUCCUUUCUAUUUAUAAAAACUUUAAAAAGGCGGUUGUCGAUGCAUAUGUCUAUAAUAAAUAUUGCAGAUCUCGUUGAGUUGAUCUAGAUAUAGGUUGGCGUCGGAGGGGAAACCACUUCGCCAACAUGAACUGAUGGUUUCCCAAGGACAAGCUCAGUGUCUUAAAAUAAGCAUUGAUCAGAUCGUAACAUGAGCUUUUAAUUAUUUGCAACAUUACCUUGUGUAUUGAGCAUAUAAGGAUAAUUGUAAAAAAAUAUUCCUUCGGGUAUUCUUGUCACUAACCUUUCUAGGAUUGGAGCAAGAAGAUCGGAUGAAUGACAAGCACAAGGUAUGUCCAACCAAUCAUCAUACAACAUUGAAUUAAAUUCAUCCAAACUUGAAUUUUGCAAAAUUCAAGCUUAGGGGAGUACUUUACAUAAAAACAUCCUUUGCCAUGUUGCUAUGCUAGUUGUCCCUACCUUUGAGACAUGCUCAAUUUGUUAAAUACUAAUCACACUACUUCAUCUCCACUUGAGUAGAUCUCUAUAAAUGCUGCCAUGCUACCUUUGUCUAUUUACUAGCAAGUGUUGGUUUGGAAGUACUCGCCAUACUUCCAUUGGCAUUUAAAUUAAGUAUGGUGCUUAGGUUGAAUAGCCUUCCUUAAUCUGAUUAGACAUGGAGUCUAGUUUGGUUAUUGAACUAAAAAAACUGCUUGAGUAGAUAUUGGUAUAUUUUGUCGGACUAACCCCUGCAGAAAAACUUUCGAUAUUGAUUUGGGAAGUCCUGAGAUAAACUCACAUCAGAGACGAAGAAAGUGACACAUGAAGUUUAACAAUUUGCACAAGAAGGACAUAGCUCAUUAAUCAUAGAGAGAUGAUCCAUGGAGGGUGCCACAAACACGAUGCACAACCGCUAAGAAAGGAAAGCUUCCACAAGAUGAUACUGUACCAUCACUCUUCGAGCAAGGUAACAUCUUAAGGUACUUGACUAUCACUUUUAUAAGCUUCUCCUUGGUUCUAGCGUUCAUAUAAAUAAAAGAGACAAACGUGUAUGAUUUACAACUCUAGAUUAACCAACCCAACUGAUUAAACAUGUUUAGUCCUUUAAUCCUUGUUCUUAGUACUACCUCCAUGAUCCCACACUCCUAAUCAUAUGAGCUAAAAUGUUACACAUUCAAUCAUUGAGAGAUAUAAAGAAAAAGACAUAUACAUAGAUAGAUUAUCUUUCCAUAAGGUUGAGCGAUCUGAAAAAUGUUAUAAGUGCUACACUCAUGAACUUAUCAUCCAUCAACUUGUCUUGCUCACUAUGCUUAAGGUUAGAGAAGAACAAAUACACUUUUGGUUCUGUUGGUGUUUUCCACCAACAGGGCCCAUGCACUUGAUCUCUGCCUUGUCUCUAUGAGCAGGUACACUACGAGCACAAACACACUGAGCAAGAUACUGCUAACACCGCACUUCGAACUGCUGGGCAAACGAAGAACAUGGGUGAGACACCGUAUUAAAAGGUGCAGACGUCAAGGUCCGCACCUGAAUCAAAUGACGCACCUGAAGAAUGAACACGGUGAGAAGUCUUGUCAAGAAGACUUAAAACAUUGAACCCUCGCCGAAAGGUAAGAUUGGUAGUUAUCCAUAUUUAUCCUUUCUGCAUUCCCUUUUCCCUUUAAUUAUUUACUUUCCAUAAAUAGAUUAUUAGUUAAUCAUGCUAUCUUGAAAAGAAAAUAAAAAUGUUAAAAAAAUACUAAGCCCCAUGUGAGUAUACGAGUGGCAUAAAACCCAUAAGUACCUUCACUGUGGUGGCAUAAAAAUAAAUAUUUCUUUUUUACUUUAUAAAAUAAAAAUAUAAAAACAGGGAGUAAUAUUUAUUGAGGAAGCUCAACGUGAUGAAGGCUAGAUAUUUAUGCUAACACUUAAUUAGUUCCACAAGCUUUGUUGUCUAUUUGAGCUCCACAAAAUUUAAGAAUCAAGAAGACUAGCAGAUGGAGGACAUUCUAAUCGCUGUCAGAAUGCUGCUGACUUUCAAAUACACCUCUGCCACCUGCUAGCUACAUCAAGAGAAAUUACGUCAAAAUUCAGCUUGGGGGAGAGCACCCCUAUUUAUCUCACUAAGUAUUUCUACCUAUCUUUAUACUUAUAUUAUAUUAGAAUAUUAAAAUACAUAAACUAUGAAAAACCAAAAAAAAAAGAUUUUAUGCUUAUAUAUAUAUAUAUAUAUAUCUUUUCUUGGUUUGCUAAAUAAAUAAAUAAAUAAAUAAAGUUUGCUAUGAAUCUUAAUAAUAAAACUCUAGCAUGGAUAUGAUGAAUAGUUGCUCUGCCUAAUUUGCAAAUUUAAAGUUCUCUCUCAAGUUUAGACAUAACUGUUAUAAUUUAAAGCUUGCUCUAGAUCUAAACUUGUGGGAUGAAAACUUGAUCUGAAAUCUAAGUUGUUAACGGAUAAGAUAUGGGAAGGUUGAGCUGCUGUUUAUCUGUUUCUAGAGAUGCUAGAAUUCUGGAGAAUUUUAUCUUUGAAAAUCUUUAAAAUGUUGCAUGAUGAGUUCCUGUAUGAUGAGAGUUUAAAUUCCUACCACAGCCAUAUAUACAUGCUUGCUAGACUUUGAGCCACACAUUUAUUUACUGCUUAUGAGCAUUGAGUGUGGUCAAGCUGUGUAGACCCUUAGGAGCUUGUCAUGUGGUUAAAUCAAGAUUCACUUGCACGUUCACUCAUAUAUGCUACUUCUACUCUGGAAGUACCAUCCACAUAUAUCCAUCCAUUUCCAUCUCCAGUUUCACCCAAAAUCAUUCUACUCCUAAUCCGGGAGAGAAUAGCCAAAAACAUUUUCCUAUCCCUGUUAUUCCCUGUGAAAUAAAUGCUCCAGUUAUUUUGGUUACUACCACUUGCUACAUUAUUUCAGGAGAUGAGUGCUCUAAAAAAAAGAUAAGAAAAGAAAAAAAAAUAUAAUAAUAAACGAGGAAAUAAAAAGGGGCAAGUGCCUGGAACCUCGAAAGAAAAGAAAAAGUGAGACGAGAGGUAAAAAUGGACAAGUGUCCGACAGUAGAAUUAGGGGUACAAGAUACCCACCUGAGAGGAAAGAAAAAGAAGAGCAUCUCAUUCUCCUCAUAAAGUUUCAAAAAGCAAGGAAGGUAUGUAUCCCCUCAUAAGAGCAAAAGUAGAAUUAGACUUUCACCAUUAUUAUCACCAUCAUCAUUAUACACCAUUCAUUCGCCACACAUGCACAUCUUGAUUUGGCUUAUUGAUUUGUUUCUUUGGAUCCAUGGUUUGACUAUACAAUAAAUGUCUUGUAAGUAUGUAUAUUUUAUCUCCCACCUAUGAGCUCCAGAUAUUAAAGCCUUAUUAGAGUAGGGUGGGAGAGAAGGCAAUGUCACUAUGCCUUAUACCACAAAUACCACAUAUUUUGAGAGAAGGCAUAUACCAUCACUGCCUUGGUAAGGAUCCAGAAAUACCACAAAAGAGAGAUAUGAGAGAGUCAUACAAAGGAAUCUCUGAGUUUUAUUUGGAAAUCUGCAAAAACUCCAGAGCUAUAGCUGAUCAAGAAUAAGCGACAUGGCACUUGACUGGACUGUUCUAUCUUUUAACCACUCAAGACAGAAGUGACGGUUACAAGUCCCAUGGUGAAACAUAAAGUAAGUAAGUUUUAAGUCUUGAUAGUUUACUCUAACUCAGAGAUGAGACCUCAUUUAAAAGCAUGUGUACCGUCAAAUUUUAAAGAUAUUGCAACAACUUAUGAUCCAUAGCUGAGUCUAUCCUUGCUCAGGGACGAGCAAGAGGUAAGCUUGGGGGAGUUUGUUGACGGUCCUUAAGUAUUAAAUUUAACUAUCAAAUAAACAAAGAAAAGGAUCCAAAUGAAAUCAACAUCGAGACUUAGGGUUUUAUCUGACAGAAUUCCACGAGUUUUGGUAUUUGUCUAUUUUUGCAGGGUGUUAUCAGGAAAUAAGGAAGAAAGGCCCACACGUCGGGAUUACAUAGAGAUAUCAACGUGCCGCGCAAUUAUCUUACAUCUAGAAGACUCCAGAAGCCACGGGAAGGAAGCGGAGACCGAACGGAGUCAGGGACAGGGCGCCCGCCCAAGUCCUUAGGGCGCCCGCCCAUCUUUUUCGGCC
Molecule: long non-coding RNA, 47250 nt
Filed under: Sorghum bicolor (sorghum)
Lineage: Eukaryota; Viridiplantae; Streptophyta; Magnoliopsida; Poales; Poaceae
Description: long non-coding RNA (SBIC_LNC010156)
Source: RNAcentral